CAUACCAAGGUCCAAGGGAGUAAAGGAAACAAACAAACAUAUUUGAUUGGAUAUGCAGCCUGUUGUGUUGAUGUGACCAACAUUGUACUCAUGAUACUCAUAAUAUUGGAUGUGGCAAGAGAGGUUAUAUCUUAUCUUAUUAAAAAGAAAAAUUAACUGGGAAUAAACAACCAUAACACACCAUCAUCAACAAACAGGAUCCCCACCAUCAUCGUACGUUUCUCUUCUUAUUGUCCUGCAAGCAUGUUGGUGAUUUUUUUUUAUCUAAUCGUAAUUGGGUUACUGAAAAAACUACUACUACUACUACUGCAGAAUAUGUACAGAAGAAUAUUCUUCUUUCACCUCCACCUAGCUUUCAGCGUGGCACUCCUUCCCAAUACCUAGGAGCUUACCCAUGUCCUUUAUGGGAACAAAUCCAACAUCAAGAUUACCACAAUAAAUGUCCAAGAACUUUUCCCUACUUGGCCAUAUUCCAGCUUCAAAUACAAUUCUAGCCAACAUUUUCACAUCAAAGUUCACUAUCCCUUUAUUCCAAUCAUUAACCAAACCAUGAGAAACAGCCUUAUAAGCUGAUUUGGUGGAAGAAUUUCUUAAGCUAAACUUAAUCUUCACAUCUUGGUCACUUGACUUCUUUAAGUAAAUGGGUUGCAGCACAAUAGCCCCAGAGAGCCCCACCGAUCCAUAAAACACCGAGACAGAGAAACGAUCAACUAUCAUCUCUAUCUUUUUGUUUGGGUUUGUUAUGUUUAGUUCAACCUCGAACAUGCCUUUUAGCUCUGAAUCAGAGACAGUGAAGUUGGACACAGAGAUUGAGCUGACUCGAAAAUGAGUUUUAUGUGGGUCCAUGACAUUCCAAGCUAUAGCGAUGAUGACAGUUAAAGUGAGAAAGAGUAAAAUGAAUGUCCAGGUAAGUCGACGGACUACACCGAGAGUAGAGGACCCCGGUGUCCUAGAAGAAGCAUUGGUGCUGGUAUGAGGAGGCUGAGGCUCCAUGUAAAUUUUGGAAUGAAGCUGGGUAUGUGGUAGGAGUUAUGCUAUAGCUAGUAGUAUAAACAAAAUUUUGGAACAGAGCUUUUAGUAUUGUCUCUCUUUAGCAACAAACAAUCUUUAAGGGGAAUGUAUAUUGUUAAAGACAGAAAGGGAAAGUAGGACAAUGAAUAUAUGUGAUAAUUGCAAAAGGUGAGGUAUAUAUAUUUAUAUAUAGUAGUAACUAUGAAGAGGUAGGAAUUCUGACGUAUAAAUUGGUGGUAUACUUUAAACUAAGUAGCAGCAGCUUCCACGAAGCAUCUUGGAAAUAAACAUGAAUACGAGAAGCUAGCAUUAAGAGGAAUUACACGUAUAUGCAUACAUAUACAUAUGAAUAAAGAUAACAGUGAAUUACCAAUCUGCCAUUAAGAAAAGAGCAUGCUUCUUUAAUAAAAGUGAAUGUCUCUAUCGUUAAGACCUCCUGUCUGUUUUGUUCUAUUUAUGGAUGGAUGGUUUCAUUAUUUAUUUGUACAAAUCAUUCAUUCCUAAUUCCUAGUUUAAGUAUGGUUUCUGACUUUAUGUGUCAUUAUAUAUUGCUUAUUUUAUUUUUCCUUCUGAUUUUUUGUUUAUUCCAAGAUUGGAGAAUAUUGCAGUGUACAUGAACCGUUAACUAUGUUUGGCCAUAGCAUAUACCGUAUAUAAUUAAUUGUAAUUUGGUCCACUGGGUUCAAAUCCGAGUCACCACAUUUCACCGUAUCCAUGUGUGUAUUUAUUUGAGUAUAUGUUAGCCAUUAGGUCAAUCGCAAAAAAAUAAAAAAUACAACUAACUGCGUGUUUAUCUGUUAGUUUGAAUUGUUACUAUUUACAGCAUCAUAAAGGCACUAACGAAUGAGUGAAAAAAAAUGAGAGAAGAAACGAUAAAACCUGUUUGUUCUCUUAAUUCAGGUGGUACUUGGAAAGCUAUGUAACAAUAAAGCAAGAAAAGACAUCAAAGACAAGUAAACAUUCCAAGAAUAAAGAAACCUUACUAACUACGACCCCCACUUUCCUCAACCAUCAAUCCUUUUAAACUCUUGGCCAACCAAAUAGCUGUCUCCCUUGAGGAGACCUUAUCUUUUCCAAAGGGCUUCAGAACAACCGCAAGUUCCUCCAAUCUAUUUUGCUGCAGCAAAUCUGCAGACAAUUCUAACAGCCCUUCAAGUGCAUCAGCUCUCUGUUUGGAAGAUUUAACAUCAAAAGAUUCAUUUCCUGGCAUUUCCUCUUUGGCUGUAGGAAUGCUAUAUUUGUUAUAUUUAGCGGAACCAGGUUCUGAAACUAGAGAAUCAGGGAUUCUCACAUCUAGCACUUCAACAUCAGGAUGUUCAGAAAUACUUGACUUCAAGCUCAAGUUUCUGAUUUCCAAAUUAUCAGUAGUAUUUGAGUUCAAGCUAGUAACUUCAGAGCAAUUUGAAGAUUUAAGGGACAAAGGAGUUCCCACAUUUCUCAUUUCUAAAUCAUCCUUUACAACGUUGAUGAGUGUACCAACAUCUACAUUUGUAACUCCCUUCUCCGUUGAUUCCUUUACCGGAAGAUCACUCCCCACCCGGUAACUGCUAUGGCGUAUAACAUGGAUGACAUCAUCAAAAGCUGGGGGAAGAUGGCCAGAAGCAGGCCUUUCUGUUGCUAGAUUCUGUAAAACCAUUCCCUUCUCUUCUUCUAAAACUUUCUGGCUUGAAAUUUUAGUAGAUAUAUUCAGAGGUGCAAUUUCAGCCACUGAGGACACUCUUUCCCUCACCAUGAACUUGUCAUCACCAGUUGAGAUGUACAUAAGCUUUGGCUGGCUAACUUUAUGAGGCCUAUUAUUUGGCAAGCUUACUGGACUAACUUCACAAACAGACUUUUUUCCAGAAAUGGAAAGUGAAUGUUUGAGAGAAUUGAUUGAAGCCAUUUCCUUACAAAUAUCUUGAAGGUUUUUGAUUUCUUGUGUGACUUUGGCAGACGGAACAUCACACUCAACGACAUCAGAUGUAGUUGUUUGAUUUAUAAGAAAACUAUCAUACAUUACUGAGUGAUCCAGAGUUAACCUGGGACUUACUUUCUCAUUACGAGUAAUGGUAUUCUGAAAAGUUGGUGUAAACUGAGAGGAUUCACCAGAAAUAUUUUCAUCAGGACCACCACUGUUGGCACGUGAUCCCACAAUUUCAGUGUGAUUAAAACUCCCAUGUUCAGGGGGUGUUGGUUCACUCAAGUCAAUAAAAGUGUUUGCAAAGUCAAAAAGUUCAAAUCCUUGAAUAGAGACUGAAGAUGAAACAGAGUUGCUGGUUGCUUGCAUUCCUUUGGUACUACUUUCAAAAGCCUUCAAAGGCUCUUUAGAAACAUGUGGCAGAUGACCGUUAGGCAACCGAUGAUGUCCCAUCUUAGCCUCCUGACCUAUUUUAUUUGGAUCUAACCUUUCUGUAUCAUUUGCUGCAUUUGGCAUAUCAUGCCCGGCUUGCUUUAUGCGUCCCAGAAAUGAGGGUGGCUUAAGUAGGCUUGGAGGAGUCUUUUGUUUUGGCCUUGCAGAAACUCCAGGUACUGCUACUACUUGUUUGAUAGGACCACAUGGUGGUGUCACCUUAUGUCGAGGUUUAGUUUUUGGUGUAGAUUCUAUCAUCGGUAACUGCUGUCAUGGAUAAAUAUACAAGAAAUAAGUUUCAGUGUCAUAGGGAGAUCAUUAUAGGUAACAAAUAUAUCAUUCUAAUGGUAAUGUACCUGAUAUUUUGAAGUAUGUGAUCCCUGGAUUCGUUUUGAAGAAUGAAGGGUUGCUUUUGAAGGUGCUAAGGUUGGCACCUCUACAUUAGGCUUCAAACCAUUUACACCAAAAUCGGAUUUCGGAAAUUUAGACAAGGUUUCUGUAUUAAUUUUCUGUGUUGAUAUACCACCAGCCUUCAUCAGACUUUCUCUCAUUGGAGACCUCGUCUCUUUAACCUUUUCAUGUUUUGGUCCCAUCUUUACAUUCUUAACUGUUCUUGCUAGCUUAUAUCCAACAUUAGAAUUGUGUUCAAGGUGAGUUUGCUUCCUAACCUCCUGUUUAUCUGUUUUGGCGUUGACAUUGCUAGAGCUGUUUCUUUCUCUACCGGGCAUGAUAAGGUCAGACCCAUUAUCAUCGAUCAUUGACAGGUCUACCUCAGUGAUUUUUUCAUCGCCCAUUGGUGCUGCUUUUGAAACGUUUCUCUUAUUUGACAUCAAACCACCUUUGUCACUACUCGAACUAUUACUUUCUUCACUUUCUGCCAUGUUUUUUCGAGGAACAUGGACAGCAAAAAUUGGCUUUUCAGGAGAAGAGGCUGAUGGAGAACAGAGAGAUGAACAAUAUUGAUGAACAUAAGGCUGCAAAUAAGGGUGCUUUAAGAUAUCGGAUGCCUGUGUAAUACAUAAAUGAAAGUUUUCAGGAUAUGUACCGAUGGGAAACUUGUUUCACAAUGAAAAUAAUGUUGGUCUUUAAGAGAGACUUACUGUUGGACGAUGCUCGGGGUUUUUCCUUAACAUGCCUUUUAUCAGUGUUUUCCUGUGUGUAUGGAUGUAAAGUUUAAGAUUACAUACAUGCACAGAGAGGAAAGUAAAAAGAUUUUUUUUUUAUGUGGCUCUGAUAGUUAUCAACUUCAUGUUCAUUGAUGAUGCUUACCGGACACCAAUGACAUUUCUUACAGUAAACAAAAUUUGAAGUGGUGCAACAAAUGCAGUGUCUAACUGUGCCAUAAAGUUCACCCACACAAACACGUGCGUCUAUACUAGUAACUGUAUAUCUUUCUGCCAUACCUAUUUGACUUCAACGGGUAGUCUGAACUCAAGUGAUUACUAACUUUCUAUUAACAAAUGAUAUUGGAUGAUAAGCAUAGAAAAAAUAGAAACUUACAAGGAUGGAGAAUAACAGGGAGGCAAAGUACCAAUAGAGGAACGGUUGAUCUUGCUUAUCAAUCCAUCCAAAUCCUGAAACAGUACCAUUUUUAUCAAGAAAAAGGAACCAUGAUAAGAUACCUCCACAUACAUAAAUAUCCAUACAAUAGUAGAGAAUCACAAAAACUUUCAUUAUGUACUGAUGGAAAAUCAAUCACAAAGCAUUACAAACUGAAAAUCACCAAGCAACUCUAUUAAAAAAGUUCUGAAAAUGGAAGCAAACUUAAUGUUAAACAGUACCCCCACCCUUAACGAACAGCAUUUAAGUCUAUUUACAAAGCCAACAAAAAUUUAGAACUCGGUCAUAGAUAUCAGAAUAACAGCCAAAAAAUAGGUCAGAAUAAGGAUUCUGGAAAGUGGUAGGUUGGUAUAAUUCUGAAAGCUGGUAGCUUUGCAAAAUACUGCAUUAAUCUGAAUAGCAACCUAAUUCAAUUAUGCCUAAAUUUUCUAGUUUUAUUCCUUUCGACCAUUUACACAAACGGAUACCAUGUCUUUUUUUCUGGACAAAAUCUUAAAUUUGCUUAUUUUGGAUCCUGAAAUGAGAUAUCGCUUUCAGAUUUAACUUGGGAAUAACAUUAGCAACAACAACAACAACCAAGUCUUAUCCCACUACGUGGAGUCGACUACGUGGUCAAAUUGCGCCCUAAAGAUUACCAUAAAAAGAAUUCACUAAAGAUUACAGUAUAUCCAUAUAAAGUUAAAAAAUAUCGGAACUCUUAAUAUAACAAGGUUAUAUAAUUUUAUUUAUGCAAAUUAAUACCUUACCUAUUCUGUUGCAUGCAAAUGCUACUUUACUGACUUAAACGAAGAAAUGAGAUAUAUUCAUAUAUGACUUGCUGGUAGUGCAUUAAAUGAAUGACUAUACUAUGGCAUAUCUGUUCUUAUCAGUAUAUUAUGGCAUAUCUAUAACUAUUAAGUAUCAAGUGAAAAUCGAGGAAAUCUUACAAAAGCUUUGAAAGCAGGGCGGUGAGCAGCCAUCUCAUAUAUACAACACCCUGAACAACAAAAAGGUAUUUAUACUGUAUCAAAACCGAUAUCAGAUAGUCGUCGAAAAAUAAAAAAUUACCUAGUGACCAAAUAUCAGAUUUGAAUCCAUAAGGAAUAUCUGUAAGCAGUUCAGGGCACAUAUAGUUCGGAGUUCCUACAACCUGUGUACAAAUAUUUAGAACAAUUAGCCAAUUCCACAACCAGUGACUGUACUCUAUCCAAUAAAUGAAUACUAAUUAUAUAGCUUAACAAGAUGGUUCAAUUGUCAUAUUAUCAACUUCAAGUAGCUCAAAAUUAUUAAAAGUUGGAUUCGAUCCUUACAAAAUAUGAGCAAUAAUGAAAACAAAAAUUACAUAAUUAGAUAUUCUUCUAGCAGAAUCAGAUCUAAGUAGAAACUAUAAACUUCUUAUUACGAGCUUUCCCGUUCUAGAAUAUUCUCCACCCCAUAGACACAAGUUAUAGGUGCCAAAUACAUCCCUUAUUAAAUUAACAUACACCUACUAUCAAUAUAUAACUUAAGACGGUUUUAAGUGUUGCUGUGAUCAACCCAAAAGAGAGAAAAUAUAUUCGUAGGAUAAAAAAUGUAAAAAUAAUGGAAACAGUGGAAGCAUUUGAAAAUAUUUAGUUACAAGUAGAGGAAGUUAUUAGAAGGAUUUCAACGCUAUGUAUUAGUCUUUUGCUCAGGUAUAAUUGUUUAAAACAAAAUUUUAUACUUUUUGUAUUGAAAAAAUAACUGAUUAGGCUUAGUUCUUUUCGGCAGCUACAACAUAGAUACCGUUUUGGUCUAAAAUUAGAUGUUGUGCUGAGAGUCCAGAUUUAAUAGCAGAGCAGUAACAAUAAAAUGAGCAACAAGGUGUGCAGGAACAUUUCAUCCGGACAAUAUGAAGAUUGAAAACCCUAAACUCAUCAUAACUCUGCUUCGGCUCUUCUCUCCAAAAGGUGUUAGCAAUUAGGAUGCAUCAAUAGAUUCAAUACUAAGGAAAAUUAUCAGAACAAAUUUAGCUUGAACCCUUGGAUUCAUAGAAGAAGCAACAAGCUUAUAAAAAAAUAUAAAAGAAGAAAGCAACAAGUUCCUUAUUUCAUACGUACCGAGGAAGUCAAAUCAUCAGCUUUUAGUGUCUUAGCAAGCCCAAAAUCCCCUAUAUAAAUAUCAGGAAAUUACAAACAAAUUAAGGAUGAAGAAUUAAUCAAUCAUAUUAACUCAAAUGUAAUAAAAAAUGGUGUAUGAACUGACCUAAGCGAACAUCAUGAUCCUUGGUGAGAAAGAUGUUAGAACACUGUCAUCAAAGUUUGACAAAAUUUAACUUGGUAUACUCAUAAGUGGAAUUAAAAAAGUAUAAAAGGCCAUGCAGUUUCUUUAUCCAUGUAAUACCUUUAGGUCACGGUGCAAAACAAAAUUUGAAUGCAGGUAUUCUACUGCCAACAAUAAUUGAGUAACCCAUUUGCAAAGUUUCUGACCAAUGUCAAACACUAUCAACAUGAGCAAGCAAAAUAUUUAACAAAUAUACAAAAUUUAAGAAAGUCAAAGUAUAAACAAGAAUACCUCUUCAGGAAAGUAAGCCCCAUUCGAUUUUUUCAUCAAUGCUGCUCUGAAAAGAUUUGAAGAGAAAACGAACAUAAAGAAUUUUAAACAAUUGAGUUUUUGGGCUCAUAAAAUUUUACAUGGUACUGCGUUAGUACAGGUAUUAUCCGAAGACUCACAUGUCUCCACCUUCACAGUAUCCAGUAACAAUGCAAACAUAGCAACCCUACAAUAAAAGUAAAACAAUCAAAAACUUAGAUGAAAAGGAAUCAAACAAUCACAAACUUACCAUACAAACUAUUUCUAGAUUACAACAGAGAGAGCACAACACAAAAAUAACAUAACAAAUUGUGAAAGUGUGCUAGAACAAGCUAAUGAUACGCAUGAUUUUGAUGGUUUUGAAUUAAAUUGAUUCGAUUAAAAUUGAGGUUUUUUUUUUUGACGGAAAAAAAAAAUUGUGUUUCAAUAUUUUUACUAUGAAAGCUAAAACUUAGACGAAUUUCUUAGUUCAAUGCAAUAACUUCUUUUAUUACUCUUAAUCAAACUGAACUUUGGAUGGAAAACAAUUUUGACUUGCAAUGAAACACUUGAAUGUUAACUAAAAUUUAACAUAAUUUUAACAAUCAAUUUUGACUUGCUACCAAACAGUUGUAUCGAUCAAACUGAAGUUUGGAAACAAAAUGUUGUAUGUUUUAUAUUCCUCCGUUUCAUAUUGUGUUUUAAAGGUAAUAUACACUCUCUAAGAAAAGCAUCGAGUUUUACUCAUUUUUAUGAUAAAAUAACCUUUAUUUACCAAAAUUAUGCUUAUUAUUAAUAGUUGUUGGUUUUAGGUAAAAUGAGAUAUUAGGUAAAAAUAGUUAAUAAUUCAUUGUUAAUUUAAGAAGAAAAUUAAUAUGAGACAAGCAAAUACAGUAAUAUAACUUUCCCCAAUUAUAAACAGCUUUUAAAACGGAAAACAAAUAUUUGUCUCUUAGUCUCAUUUCAAAUUACUAAAUAUAGACCCUAAAAUCCAUCUUUACAUAUCUAAUGUAAAAGCAAAAAGUCAACCACCUUUCACAAUCCAAUAUGAAAACAAAGAUACACACAUAAAGUCAAGGAUCUAGUGGUGUAUCUCACCUUCUCAACCCAAGCCUCCUUGAAUUCAACAAUGUAAGGAUGCUUAAUUCUCGCAAUUAGAGCCAUCUACAAAUACAAUUCCCAAAAUCAACUACACCACUUCAUAUUAUCAAACAACAAACAAGAUAAACAAGCUAUGAAGCACAAACACCAAUCACUAAAGACACUCACACAUCAUCACAUAUAAUAAUUUGAGAAAAUAACAUAAUUUCAAUAUAAUUACACAGUGUCAUAGACAAACACAUCACAUCACCGACACGUGUCAGACACCGAAUACACAUUUGAUUAGAAGUGUAAGUGAUAGUAAGCAAGAAACUAACAAAACAAAAUCCAAUUACUACCUCUUGAUGAGCAGAUCUUCUACACCGUUCCGUUUGCCUAGCAAGCCUAAUUUUCUUCAACACAUAUCUACAACAACAAAUUUAACAUAAACAAAGCUUCAAUUCUCAAAUUCAAAUAAAAAACUUAACAUAAAACACAAAUGGCGCGAACACAUUACCUUUUCUUCUCCACCUUGUGAUUAACGAGAAUUGCAGCACCAAAUGCACCGCGACCGAUCUGCUCCAUGAUCUCAUACUGAUCCAUCUUAAACACCAAUGCAAAACACGAAAAUGUAGAUAUCAAACGCAAUUUGAAUUUCAACGAAAUUUCAAUUGAAUUUCAAAGCAUUGUAACGGUUUUCGUUUUCUUCUUCUACUACAUUGUUUUUGAAAGAAACCGUUUGAGAAAUGAAUGAACGUUUUGUGGUUAUACUCAACUGUUUCUCACUUUCACGCUGGCAAUGAUGAUUAAUUAUGUUGGUUGUGGUAAAAGUGAUAGUGUAAACAGUGUGAUUAAUUUGUGGAGUAAUUGCGUUGAUUACGGUUUGAUAUUUUUGAAUUCGAGAAGAAGAAGUGGUUUCUCUCUCUAAGAUGAAGAGAGAGAAAGUAAGAGGGAAAUGGUUUAUUUAUGGUUAGAGGGGGAUACACCGACAGCUGGUCUUUCAACUGCCUCUCACCUUUCAAUUUUCGGUAUUUAUUAUUGGAUUUUUCUAUCAUGUUAAGAAGUUUAAAAUAAAAAUUUUGUAUUAAAACUUGUACAUUUAAUAUUAAAUAUAAAACUUUUGAAUAAAUAAAUGUUGUUUUCCAAAAAAAAGUUACUACUAUUAGUUAUUUUAACAUGAGCAAUGUUGCACAUGUUAGACAAACCCUUUAUUAUUUUGAUUUUCUUUCAUUUUCACGUUUACUUAACUUUUUGAUAAAUCAAAACUAUAGUAGUAAUUCAUUUAAAAAAAAUUCUUACAAUAAUUUUUUUUCAAGUAACCUGGCAGACAUAAAAUGUGGAGAAGUUGAGUGUUUGAAGUUCAAACUUCAACAUUUACAUAUAUUAUGCAACGUCUUUAUCAAUUAAAUUAAACUUACGCAAGAGUCCAACAAAUAUUUUUUCUUACACGCAGCUAUCAAAUUGUUAACUUUAAAAUUCUCUACUUCACACAUGGUAGAUAUUUGGAUUUUGGACCACUAAUCAUUUCGUCAAUCUUUAAUCAAAGUAUAUAAAAAAAUAUGAGAAAUGUUAACCAGUGCUCCGAGACACUAGUUAAAGAAACAAAUAUAGUAAUAUUUGCAUGGAAAGUUGUGUAAUCAAUGCAUUCAAAACUUAAAAAGUGUCUUUUUUAAUUUACAAUUUCCUCUUUUGGCUUCCUUAACCAGUGUCUCUGGGGCACCGGUGGUUAACAUAACCCAACAAAUAUUUAUCAGAAGAAAUUAGUUCCUUAACUGUAUCUUUAUUAAAAUAAAAUCAUUUAAUGAAUCUCAUAUAAUUAGUCUCUCUUUUUUGUUACAAGGCUAAAGGAAAAAUAAAGAACAAUAAUGUUGAUUAAAUUAUGAUUAAAAUGUCUAUUAAUGGUGAUUUUAAAUUAGUGUAUAUCUAGUACUGUUAAUCACGGAAAUGAAACAUGUCAAUUAUGAGUAGGAAGUUAGAAGGACAAUAAUGUUCUGUUUUCUUGUGAUUUUAGAAUUAGAAGGAAAAUAAGAGUCGGAACUAUAAUAAAGCCAGCUCGAAAGUAACUUUAGGGUGUACUCGGUUGAGUAAAGAGAGUGAUAAGUGGGAAAAUCGUGAGAACGAUUAUGAAAAGUGAUUUUUUUAAGGGUAUUGUUUGAUUAGAUAAAAAGUGUGAAGAGGAAAGGGAAAUAUUAUUACGUUUGAAAUGAAAAAUAAUCGUAAUUAAGAAAAUUUAUAUAAAGUCAUUUUAGUUUUAGGCAAAAUUAUAAAUUUGAUCUCUUAAUUUUUUUCUUUCUUUUAAUAACCCAAAAUAGAACUAGAUUAAACAGAACAUUAUUGUCGCAGAUUUAUGUAGAUGAUAUAUUCGAUGGAGUUAGUGAAAAAACUGUCGGUCUUGAUGAUUUAUUAGAUAAGAUCGGUGGAUUGCAUGCACCAAGCGCUAAAAGUUCCAUUAAAAAAAAAAAUAGCAUGAUUUUGAUGACUUCAUGAUUGGGUUUGGUGGAAGCAGCAUAUCCAAUAAUGGGAAAGCAACCAUUGAGAAGAAUAAUCCUCGGAAACCAACUGCCAUAUCUCAUAAUGGCCGUUUUUAGUAUUGGAAAGCACAACAUCUUCAAAAUCAUUCCUGGACUCAUUAGAGCAAAUCACUAAGAAUGGUUCUAAACAUACAAGUGGCAGCUCAACACCUCCCCAUUAUCGAGGCCUUCUCCCAAGCCAACGAAUGUUUCAAACUCAAUCAACAGCUCAAGUUUAUCAUCAUCAAUAGAUGAGGUUGAGAACUUUGCCAAGGGCCGAGUGUAGAGUAAUCCUAAUAGAAAAGCAAAUGGCAUAACAUGUGUGCAAGAAAUCAAUUCAGCAAACCAAAUAUUCAACAACAAAUUGAAAGGUCUUGUUAAGUUAUCUACCAAUAGUGCACCGAGAUAUUAAACCAAAGAACAUACUUGUGGUUGUGGAUGACAAUAUGGAGCCUAUUACAGCUGAUUUUGGCACUGCACUAUGCAAGAAGAAGUUUGAGGAUUCUGAUUAAUUUCAUAGGUUCCAUAAUCACUAUUUCUCGUGUAUCAUAGGUUCCAUAAAUUUCAAUCAAUAGGAUCUAAGAGGGUGGUCUAUCAUUCAUUCGAAGAGUCAUCAUGCAUGGAAGCACUUUUAUCAGAACAAAAACUCGGAGUCGAGUUCUUCAUAGAUGGAGGAGACUCACGUAGGAGGGUUUCCUUAGUAAUUUAUUAGUAUUUUAUUGUUUAAGUUUAUAUUUAUUAUUUGUUUGUUUUAUUUUCAGUUUGUUAUUUUUAGGCCCAUCAGGGUUUGUUAUUUUCCUUUUUUUUUUUGGUGGUCGGGGUUUAAACCUUAGACCUUGCAUAUACUAUCCAUUGUCCAUACCAACUGAGUUAAGCUCACGAGGAGGACUAUUAUUUUCCUAUUUAAGCUUAAACAGAUGUAGCCUAAGAGGCAUAACUUUUAUUCAAUCAAUAAUAUUUUAGAGAGUUUUUUCUUAAUUUCUGGUGGAUUCCGGAACCUUAUUUUUACAAUUUUGUCGCUUGCAAACUAAAUCUUUUUUAAUAUAGGUUUAACGCAUGCUAGCCUACGCUCGAUUUAGAGUGAGUUUGUUUGAACUUAAAAAAAAACAACUUAUGUUAAAACAAUAUCUAUAGAUUUUUUUGUUGAAAUUUAAAAAAAAAAAAAUUAAACUAUUUAUGUUUGCAUCUAUAAAAAAAAAAAAACUUUUUUCCUACCGAAUUAUCCCUCUUAAUAGAUACAACCCGGCCACAACACCCAAACUUGUUCCGUUUGCAGAGUGUUUUUGCAGUAUUUCAAAAGCCACUGUCAAAUACAAUGAUCAAUCAAAAUAGAAUAUAGAAUCCUUAAAAAAUUUGAACAACUCUCAUAACAUAAAUUCCUUUGUUUCAACCUAUUAGGGGUUUGGUUUAUUAACGUCAUGGCCAAACCUCAUGAACUCAAACCAUUAUACGCAACACUUCUCAACAAAUGUUUUUCCUCGAAAAACAUAAACAGCCUCAAAAUAAUCCAUGCACGCACAAUUCGUUUAGGUAUUUCACACGAUGAUUUCAUUCGAACCAAACUUGUUUCUUGCUAUGCUUCAUGUUCCAAAUUGCACCAAGCAAAUAUUCUUUUUUCAUUCACAAAUCGCAAACCCACUUUCCUCUACAACUCUCUCAUUAGAGCCUAUUUAUCUCUCAACCUAUUUAAAGAAACGCUUUCGAUAUUUCGUGAAAUGAGGUUGUCUUAUAAACCCUUUGAUUGCCACACUUUGCCGCUUGUGCUAAAAUCUUGCGCUGGUUUAUCGGCGUUAAGGCUUGGGAAACAAGUUCAUGGAGCUGUUUUGGUAAAUGGGUUUGCGUUAGAUUUGAAAAAUUCUAAUGCUUUGAUAAACAUGUAUGCUAAAUGCGGGGAGUUAGAGUUUGCGCGCAAAGUGUUUGAUGGAAUGUGUGAAAGGAAUGAGGUUACUUGGUCGACGAUGAUGGCGGGUUAUGGAAUGCAUGGUAGGUUUGAAGAGGUUUUUGAGAUGUUUAAUAGAAUGGUGGAAGUAGGAGAGAGGAUGGAUAAUGUGAGUUUUACGGUUGUUUUGACUGCGUGUAGUCAUGGCGGGUUUGUCGAGAAAGGGAGGGAGAUUUUUGAGAUGAUGAAGGUGAGGUUUGGGGUGAAACCUGAUGUGAGGCAUUAUACAUGUAUGGUGGAUAUGUUGGGGAGGGUUGGUUUAGUGGAAGAAGCAGAGAAGUUGACAUUGAAAAUGGAUGUCAGGCCUGAUGAAGCUUUGGUGGGUGCUUUGUUUGGAGCUUGUAAAACUCAUGGGAGGGUUGAUGUUGCUGAGAGAGUUGCAGAGAGGUUUUAUGGGACAGAGCUGAGUGUUGUUGCAUCCUCAAUUUGAAUUCAAUAUACAUGAUGUUUUCUCAUAACAAGACAAGGCUAUAUAUAGACUAUAGUUCAUUCUUUUAUAUCUUUCUAGCAUAUGGGACCUAUCUCAUCAUGGGUGCUAGAAAACCAACCGAGGUUUUAAUUUCCCUAUAGCUACAUGUAAAUGAGAUGAUAACUGUUGGUGUAAAAUUUUUCUCUUUCAAUAUCAACUGCAUCAUUUAUUUAAGAAUAUAGUUUUGUUACUUUAGUUCUUAUUUAACAAAUUGUAAAUUCCAACAUAGUAAUAAAGAUCUAGAGAUUAAUGAGUUAGAUCAAAAUAUAGUUUAUGAUAGAACACUAUAAUGUAAUUUGAUCCGUGUAACUGACUCCAUUUUGUGGGUAAGACUUGGUUUUUGUUAUUGUAUUCCAGCAUAAUACAUUUACCACUUUAAAGUUUAGACAAGGAACAUCAUUAACAUGUUGCAAUCAGUCAUAAACAUAGUCUACUGAGAUAGAAGAAAAGGAUUGGGAGAGGAAAGAAAAUAGAAAAAUCGAAAAACGGAGGGAGAAAAAAUGAAAAUUUGAGAUAAGCAAAUAAUCAAACACACACGCCAGUAUACAUAAAUAGAAAUCUAGAUAGAGACAUUGUCGCUUGUAACAUGGAUAAGCAAACUGUGUUUUUUUUUUAACAGUAUGAUUUUUCUACAUAAUUCAUAUAAGAUGCAAUAAAAAUUGACUAUAUACCUUUUGCUACAUAACAUGAGGAAAAGUUUAGGUUUUAAUGUUUUUAAUUGGUACAUUUCAGGUCUAGUGAAUGAGUUAUGUAACUGUGCACUCAGUCACAAAAUUCAAUCAUCAACAUCAGAUUCUUUUCCAGAGAAAUCAGGAACAUAGCCAUAUAAGUGCAGCUCAAAAGACAAAAGCUCCAAGGCUGAGUAAAUAUAAUCAUUCUCUUCAUGAUAUUUAUCACCGGACACAAAUUUAUGAAUGCCGGAAUCAAUCUCAAUGGAACUAAAAGCUAGAUUCUUUUGUAAGCCACGUUCUUUCAUUUCCCUCCUAACCUUGCUCGCACCAUCCCAUUUUCCAACAGCAGCAUAUAUGUUAGAAAAAAGCACAUAAUUUGAAUCUCCACCAGGGUACAAUUCAACUUGAUACUUCAUCACUUUUUCAGCCAAUUCAACAUCCCCUUGAGUCCUACAAGCUGCAAGCAAUGACCCGAGCACCACUUCAUUAGGCAUCAUAGGCAUUUUUUUUAUCACAUCCCAAGCCUCCUUCAACCUCCCUGCUCUACUAUAGAGAUCCACUAAGCAACCAUAAUGCUCAAUCCUCGGCGAAUUUCUAUGAUCUCUUUUAAUGUCAGCAAAGAUUUUCAGUCCUUCGUCAAUCAACCCAGCAUGACUGCACGCUGUGAGUGCACUCGUGUAACUAACUCCAUUCGGCUCUAACCCUUCCUUCUUCAUUGAACGAAAGAAACUCAAAGCCUUGUCAGCAAGCCCAUUAACCGCAAAACCAACAAUGAUCGAAUUCCACGACACCAAAUUUCGCUGACUCAUUCCAUCAAACACUUGACGAGCAAGCUCUAUACACCCACAUCGCGCAUACAUAUCUAUUAAAGAAUUCAAAACUUUAACAUUAUCCCUAAACUCUUUCUUCAUCACAAGUCUAUGAACCCACAAGCCAAGACCAAGUGCACCCAAAUUAGCACACGCGGAAAUAAUCGCAAUAACAGUCACAAAAUCUGGCACAACACCAGCCAGCUGCAUUUCUCGAAAACACUCAAGAGCUUCUUCAUAACACUCUUUCUUAACAAACCCACCAAUAACCACAGUCCAAGAAACAACAUUCUUCACAGGCAAUUUAUCAAACAGUUUAAGUGCAUCAUCAACAUCACCAUUUUUCAUAUACCCAUCAAUCAUAGUAUUCCAAGAAACCAAAUUUCUAACACCCAUUUGAUCAAAAACCAAUCUAGCAUAAUCCAAUUUCCCACAUUUGGCAUACAUGUCAAUCAAUGCAGUACCCACCAUCACAUCAUUCAUGGCAAAGCCAUGUUUGAAAGCGUGUGUGUGUAAUGCAGCUCCAAAGGUGAUGCUGGUUUUGGAGGGAGAGUGGGCACAAGCAGAGAGGAGAGUGAUGAGGGUGAUGUGAUUGGGUUCGACUUCGGCUUCGAGCAUUUGGAUGAAUUCGGAAGCUGCUUUGAGGAAAUUGUUAUUUUUGCAGUGGUGAGAAAUUGAGGAUGUCCAUGAUACGGUUUGGUUUGAGUUGGGUUUGUGUUUUAGAGAGAGUGUUUGGUUUUUGUUGGGGUUGUUUGGGGGAGAAAAUGUAGAGGGAGGGUGAAUUUGUGGAGGUUGUUUUGGAGGGUCAGGGUGGUGUGUUGGGGUUGCAAUGCACGUAGUAAGGAUCAUUCUUCUCUCAAUCGUGGUGGUAACUGAUUUUUGGUUGAGUACCUAUAUCAAAGUUGCUCAAAUUGCUCUGGACACAUAUGAUAUAGCCGAAAAACACUCUUUGGUGUGUUGGGGUUUUCGUUUUCUUCUUCUGCUACCAGUGGCGGAGCCAGACAAAAAAAAUUGAGAUGGCCGUCAGCAAAAAAAUUCUCACACAUUCAUUUGUUCAAGUUUUUUUUUUUCCAUUCCUAAAGCAGAGCAAUAAAAGGAACAAAACACAAACAGCAGAGCAAUAAACAAAAUAAAUCCUAUAAAGCUCCAAAAGAAACAGGACUGCAACACAAUAGCAGAAACACACUUCAGCCAACACCAAACCUACUAGGCAGCCACACAGUUACCAGCAUAUAUCAGACAAGCAGAAACACGCUAUAGCCAGCAGUAAACCUUCUUAACAGCUGCUCACAACACCCAGCAGCAAAUAUCAUCGGCCUUUCUCUUAAAAAAUGAAUAGAUUUUUUUAUUUUUCAUCUUGACUUUUAUACAGUUGACAAUGCUACUGCCAAUGAGAAACAAAUAUCAGUACAUGAGAAACAUAAACACCCAAUGACACAAAUCUACAAUUGAUAUAAAAAUAGUGUUAAGACUCAUAAUGAAACAAAUAUACAAUUGACAAUGUUACUCCCAAUGUGAAACAAAACAGCAACAACAUACACACCCAAUGACCCAAAUAUCACUACAGCAAGCAGCAACAUACACACCCAAUGACACAAAUAUCAGUACAGCAAUAAGAUACACACCAAAUCCACUAAACAAAUAUCAGUAAAGCAGUUGAAAAUUGAAUUAGGUAAGCAGUAUUAUUAACAAAAUCAAAAAUCCCCUUUUGUUUUGAUUAGGGUUAUGGGAAAAUUGAAGUUGAAAAUCAAAUUCAUCAACAAACAAAAGGAGAUUGAAGCAGUAUCGUUACUAAACAAAUGAAGAAUCAGAGAUCCUACACUUACAGUUUUUUAACAGUUUUAGGGUUUGUGGAGAGAUUGAGACAAAUGAAGAUUCAGAGUCAGAGAACGAUACAGAGAGAAGAGAUGGUGGCGAUGAGUUCGACGGAGGUCGCCGGUCGGGGCCUGAUUGCCGGUGAGUGAGGUAGAGGAGAUGGAGGUUCCCGGUCGCAGACUCGCGAGAGAGAAAUGGAAAGGAUACGCUUCUUUUCGUUAUGAGAAAAAAGGAAUGUGUGAAUGGCAUAGCUGUAAUAUUCAAAUUAGCUUAAGGGUAUUAUGGUAAUUUCACAAAAUUAAUGGGCAGGACAUCGCCAUACCCAGUCCUCACGUGGCUCCGCCACUGUCUACUACAUUGCUUUUGAAAGAAACCGUUUGAGAAAUGAAUGAACGUUUUGUGGUUAUACUCAACUGUUUCUCACUUUCACGCUGGCAAUGAUGAUUAAUUAUGUUGGUUGUGGUAAAAGUGAUAGUGUAAACAGUGUGAUUAAUUUGUGGAGUAAUUGCGUUGAUUACGGUUUGAUAUUUUUGAAUUCGAGAAGAAGAAGUGGUUUCUCUCUCUAAGAUGAAGAGAGAGAAAGUAAGAGGGAAAUGGUUUAUUUAUGGUUAGAGGGGGAUACACCGACAGCUGGUCUUUCAACUGCCUCUCACCUUUCAAUUUUCGGUAUUUAUUAUUGGAUUUUUCUAUCAUGUUAAGAAGUUUAAAAUAAAAAUUUUGUAUUAAAACUUGUACAUUUAAUAUUAAAUAUAAAACUUUUGAAUAAAUAAAUGUUGUUUUCCAAAAAAAAGUUACUACUAUUAGUUAUUUUAACAUGAGCAAUGUUGCACAUGUUAGACAAACCCUUUAUUAUUUUGAUUUUCUUUCAUUUUCACGUUUACUUAACUUUUUGAUAAAUCAAAACUAUAGUAGUAAUUCAUUUAAAAAAAAUUCUUACAAUAAUAUUUUUUCAAGUAACCUGGCGGACAUAAAAUGUGGAGAAGUUGAGUGUUUGAAGUUCAAACUUCAACAUUUACAUAUAUUAUGCAACGUCUUUAUCAAUUAAAUUAAACUUACGCAAGAGUCCAACAAAUAUUUUUUCUUACACGCAGCUAUCAAAUUGUUAACUUUAAAAUUCUCUACUUCACACAUGGUAGAUAUUUGGAUUUUGGACCACUAAUCAUUUCGUCAAUCUUUAAUCAAAGUAUAUAAAAAAAUAUGAGAAAUGUUAACCAGUGCUCCGUGACACUAGUUAAAGAAACAAAUAUAGUAAUAUUUGCAUGGAAAGUUGUGUAAUCAAUGCAUUCAAAACUUAAAAAGUGUCUUUUUUAAUUUACAAUUUCCUCUUUUGGCUUCCUUAACCAGUGUCUCUGGGGCACCGGUGGUUAACAUAACCCAACAAAUAUUUAUCAGAAGAAAUUAGUUCCUUAACUGUAUCUUUAUUAAAAUAAAAUCAUUUAAUGAAUCUCAUAUAAUUAGUCUCUCUUUUUUGUUACAAGGCUAAAGGAAAAAUAAAGAACAAUAAUGUUGAUUAAAUUAUGAUUAAAAUGUCUAUUAAUGGUGAUUUUAAAUUAGUGUAUAUCUAUACUGUUAAUCACGGAAAUGAAACAUGUCAAUUAUGAGUAGGAAGUUAGAAGGACAAUAAUGUUCUGUUUUCUUGUGAUUUUAGAAUUAGAAGGAAAAUAAGAGUCGGAAUUAUAAUAAAGCUAGCUCGAAAGUAACUUUAGGGUGUACUCGGUUGAGUAAAGAGAGUGAUAAGUGGGAAAAUCGUGAGAACGAUUAUGAAAAUUGAUUUUUUUAAGGGUAUUGUUUGAUUAGAUAAAAAGUGUGAAGAGGAAAGGGAAAUAUUAUUACGUUUGAAAUGAAAAAUAAUCGUAAUUAAGAAAAUUUAUAUAAAGUCAUUUUAAUUUUAGGCAAAAUUAUAAAUUUGAUCUCUUAAUUUUUUUCUUUCUUUUAAUAACCCAAAAUAGAACUAGAUUAAACAAAACAAUCAAAGUAUAAUUAAUGUUAAGAUUGAAAAGAUACAAAAGUCAAGAAACAAAAUACACAUAAACAUAACGGCGAUACCAACCCAACAAAAUAAAAAAAAUCAAAAUCCAAGGGUAGCUACACCUAAACACAUAGCACUCAAAUAUUCUAUUGAUAGAAAUUGUAGGAGAAUCCCUUGGCUUUAUUUUUACGAGAAUGGUUAGUGCUCCGGGGGUAUUGGUUAAGUAACUAAAAGAGGUAAGAUUUUAUUAAAAAGUUGUGUAAUAAUUAGUUAGUCAAAAGUAAUAGUUUAUAUUUCUAAGACAAUUUUUCUACUUUUUUUAUUCCUUAACCAAUGCUCCGAGGGCAUUAGUUAACAAGACAGGGCUAAAAUAUGGUUUUAGUCCCUGCAAAUAUGUCUCGUUUUGGUUUUAGUCCCUGUAAAAAAAAAUGUUUUUGGUCCCUGCAAAUUUUUUUAUUUUUUAAAAUAGUCCAUGACCCCAUUUUUGUGAUGAUUUGCAUACUGCCACAUGAUGACGGAACCGAUUUUAUAGUUUUUGGUCUCUGCAAAACAUUUUGUUUUUUAAAAAGGUCCUUGCAAAAUUUUUUGUACUAUUUUCAAAAACAAAAAAUUUUGCAGGGACCAAAAACAAAUUUUUUUUUACAGAAACUAAAACCAAAACGAUGCAUAUUUGCAGGGACUAAAACCAUAUUUUAGUCUUUUUUUAAUCCACGACCACACUAAAAGUUUCACCAAACCAAUAAGAUGACUUUAAAGUCUAUCUUGAUUGCUAAAAACAGUUUGAUUAUGUUGCGUUCAAAUCACCCACAAACAAGCAAUCCAUAUCAAGUGAAAACACUUCAUCACAUUUUUCCCAUGAAAAACCAAACCUAUAAAUUGAGUAAGAGCUUUUGUUCUACAAAGCACAACUAAUGUCUAGCCAAGACACAACAUCUGCCCAUAACUUACAAACUGCAUGACAAUUAAAAAACAAAUGACUAGAUGUUUCGUCUGUGAUACAUUUGUCCAUACACAAAGGGGGUGCUAUAUUGCAGACAUCCUUACGAGACAAGCUAUCAGUAGUUAGAAGACGAUCAUUUGACAAUAUCCAAACAAAUAGCAAAACCUUUAAUGGAACCAAAUUAUUUCAAGAAAUCUUAUACAAUAUAGAAUAGAAUCUAAUAUUAAAUCAAACUUAGAGAUCAGCUUAUAAGCCUGUUAACUAAGUAUAUGCCACCGAGAUUAAUAUCUAAUUGUCAAAUAUCAUCCACAUCAUCCUGCAAAGAAAUAUUAGCUAAGAGAGUAAUGCAUCCAUCAACUAAAUCUUCCUCCCAAACAAACAAACAAAAUUCUCAAACUUUAGCCCCUUCCUCCAAACCACUUGAAAACACCACGUCCUUCACCGAAACAUUUUGAUCAACUAAAAGAUUGAAUAACCUACUAAAGUGAUCCUUGAACACCUCCCCACCCAUCCACGACUCAAUACAACAAAUACAUAUCUAUUUUCUUCAACAUAUUCUUACAAAACCAUCUCCUUCCACGCCCUUCAUCACCCUUCUCAAUACAACAAAUACAUAUCUACCACCAUAAGUCUCUUCUUCGUUUUUUACUCACCAACUCAAUUAAAAGUCCAUAUUUCUCAACUAAAACUUUAUGCCAAAGAAGUUAUUUUUCUCUCUUUAACCUCAAACACCACUUUUCUAAGAGAGUUAGAUUAAAAGCUCUUGAAUUUCUCACCUCUAACCCACCUUUUUCUUUUCAUUAAUACACUUUGUCCCAAUGAAUCUUAUGACCCUCCUCAAUCAAAAAUAAAAAUGAUUUAAAUAAUGACUUAAUUAUAUAUAUUGUAUCAGGAGGAGCUUUGAAAAAGGAGACCUAUUGUUAUCAAAUUUGGUCUCUUAAAUUAUUUAUGAUUUUCAUUUUGGCUCCACAACUAAUUGUUGUUACGUCUAGGUCCAUUAACUGCAUUUAUGUUAGUCAAAUUGGUCUCUUCCCAUUAGUUUUUAACCUCAGUCCCUCUCAUUGUUGGCGUGAGUCAAUUUUCCGGGGGUGUUUUGGUUGGCUAUAAUGACUUACAUCUCCACUUUGACAACCUCGGUUCUAAACUUUCAGAAUGCAUCCAAUCUCGUAGUUAGUGUGACUUUUAUUUAAAUUUAAAAAUACCAUAAAUCAACUCGUUUUUUUUUUUGGUAGUGUAUUAUAAAUCAACUCGUUUACAUGAGAGCGAUACAAUCCAUAUCUUGGAUUCCAAACUUUUGAUGUAUUUUUUUUGCCUUUUAUUUUUUAUAUUUUAAAGAAAAUGUCUAUGAGAGUUGGAUGACACACUACAACAAAAACUACUUUGAUUUUUAUAAAACUUUAUGUAUCAAAUGAUUUAAGAACCAAUAACCAAUAAUUUCUAAGAACCUUGAACAAGUAUUUGUUGAUCUUAACAUUGUGUUAAAAAAAACUAGAUAUGAAAUAAAUAAGAGAAGUAGAAACAGGGGAGAAAGAAGGAAGCAUUUUUCUAGUUUUUUUUUUGGUUACAAGCAUUUUUCUAGUUUGAUUUAAGAAAGAACAAGUCUAUUUGUUUUGAAUUCAUCUGAACACAAACCAUCCAGCAUUGCAAUUGCAAGCAAGUGUCACGUUCAAUGAAAGAGGAACAAGAUGUGUAGCUCCUUUCUUUCUUAAUUCUUAUCGUUUUUUUAAUAGAAAAUGUUAACAAAUUAUAUUCUUAGAACAUUUUUUAAACGGGGCUUGCGCAAAUAAAUGGUGAAAUUUGACUCAUCGGUUUAAUCAUUUAUUGGACAGGAAACAUAGUUUUCAAAAAAUUUAUUAUUAUUUUUUGUUUAAAAAGGUGCAUAUUUAUGAUUUUGAAAAGUAUUUAAUUUGUAUUUUAAUAAUUUUUUUUUUAAGAUUCCUUAAACAAUACCCCUAAAACAUUUUGUUAGAUAAAAUAUAGCAGAUAGGCCAGAAGUUAGUUUAUACUUUAUAGCAUAUGAACUUAUCGUGAAUAAGAUAGCUAAUUAAAUUUGUAAUGUUUACUAAAAUUAGAUGUUGAAGUAGUUUUUUUUUUUUUUUUUUAAAACAAAAAGUAGGUAGCAAAGAUGCUACACUACGAAAAGAUGUUGAAGUAGUUUAUAAAUAUGAAAUGACAUAAAAAAAUAUGCGUUUAAUUAAUUUUUUUUAAAGGCUAAAGAAGUAUAUAUUAAUAAACCCAACCAAAAGUCCCCCCGGCACAUGGUGUACCCGAGAAACUAACAAUCUUGUGUGAUAAUUUUUAUGACAACUUUCUCUCUCAUACUCACAUUAUAUUUUUACAUUUCCUCUGUUGUUUUGCUUUUCUUAUCAAUAUCUAUUUUUUCUCUGUAAAUUUAUGGUUGUCUUAAAUAUUGUCAUACAAAUAAUUAUUCAAAUAACACACAUCUCCAACACAGCCACAUCACAAAAAACAACAACGAGAAGGAAGAAAGAGAAACUAGGAAACAACUCUUAUGCAUGACAAAGGAUUAUGUUGUCAAACAAGAUAAUAAAAAUUGAACAUAACAUAAGUCAAUUUUAACCAUCAGAAAGCAGCCCGCAAUUUAACCUUUUCUCUUAAACUUUGAAGAAUGUCUACCUUAUGUUGAAAAUUCUCUCAUUUCUCUCCUUUCAUAUGACUCAAAUAACAGAAAUUCAGAUAACAUUAAAAGUCAACCGAGCAUUGUUCGAAAAUCUCCCUAGACCAUCAAAUUAAAGAAGGCAAUCUUGUAAAUUGUCAUGAAGAGCCAUCGAAAAACCUAACCAACUAACAGGAAAUCAAAGACCAAAAUCUACCAUACAAAUCACAUUUAAUAAAGAAAUGAUCUAUAUAUUUCCACACCCUCAAUCUACUGAACAAUUAACAUCAGAAAUAGUUAAAAUAUGUCACCUAAACAAAGUAGAUGGUUAAAAUAUGUCACCUAAACAAAGUAGCCUUUGCUGGAAUCCGACUAAGGUCUAAGGAACAACUGCCAGACAAAAAUAUUUAUUUUAAGCGGGAUUACUUUAAGUUACAACACAUGACUAAAACUCAUAUUAAGUUACUUUAAGUUAUAACAACUUUUGUAUUAACUUAUCACAAAUUACUAUAAUAUCAUAAAAAUAAACUAUAUACUCGUGAGAAAAUAAUCAUUACCAAACGUUUUUUUUAGUCAAAUAAACUUAUAAGACAUAAACUAUAAACUUAAAAAUAGGUAUUGCCAAACAAACCCUUAUUAGGACGACUCUUUAAAUUUACUCCCCAACUAGUGAAAUUGCAAAUUGCUUAAAGAGUUUUGUUAAGGAGUGUCUUUAAAAGUAUUUGUUAAGAAUUUAAAAAUAAAAAUAAUUGAUAAUUUUUAUAUAAAAAAAUUGUUUUUUAAUAUUUCAAUGUGUUCAAUACAUAAAUUUAGGAUAAAUUUUUAUUUUCAACUUUUUAUCAAGUGUUAAAAUUGUUGCAUUUCACUUGCUUAAAAUAUGUUAAAUUUUUUUUCCUCACAGCCAAGAAAGAAUGAUGUCUAUCUUAAAAAUGUAUAUUUAGAAAUUUUUUUUUUCUGCCCUUGUUUGUGUCCAAAAAUACAAAAAUGCCUCACUUUUGCAAAAAAUUGCAUAAAUGCCCUACUUUUCAGAAUUUUCUGGUACCUUGCAACCCCCGCUUGCGGGGUACCUUUAAAAUUUUUUUAAAAAAUUUUAACUACCCCGCAAGUCAAAUUGGCAUGGUAUUUUUUGAUUUUUUUUUUUUAAAAUUUUAUUGCCUUGCAACCCCCACUUGCGGGGUAUAUUUAAAUUUUUUUAAAUUUUUUUUUAAUACCCCGCAAGUGUAACUUGCGUUCCAUUUUUUUUUUUAAAAAAAAAAAAUUAAAACCUUGCAAGCGGGGUAUAUUUAAAAUUUUUUUAAUACCCCGCAACCCCCACUUGCGGGUUUUUUUUUUGGGUUUUUUUUUUAAAUUUUUAAAAUACCACUCUAAACAAAAAUAAUAAUAAACAAAAAAAAUACUACAAUAUCUACGAUUAUUAUCAAACAUGUAUUAUUUCAUCUACUAUAAAUACUUCGUUUAAUUUUUCAAUUUAUCAUACCAUUUUAACUUAUAUUAAUAAUGUAAAUUUAGGCGUUGACAAAAAAGUAAUUAUAAUAAUAAUCAUAAUAUUUACAAAAUUAAAAAGAUACGAAAUACAAUAAAUAUGAAAUAAAGACUAGAGUUUUACUGAUGUCUAAUAUUAAUGCAAUCUUUGCGCGAAUGAUCAGGCAUCCUACAAACGCCGCAUCUUCUCUCAGUUUCCACAUCGUCCAUUUCGGUCCUAAUGCGAGUAAUUGGUGGACGACCUUUCUUUGCCCUACGCAUAGACUUGUCGGGAACCACCUUCAGUCCUUCAUAAUUAGGCCAAUAUGUCUGGUGGUGAACCACGUCGAAGUGGAUGUUGUAUACGGCGUAUACACACUCAUUCGUGAAUUUGUUAUCGACAAAAGUCUUGUAGUCAUGACAAAAGCUAGAACAUGCGGCAAUGACAUGUGAGCAUGGUAGGUGUAACGCUCUGAAUCGUCCACAAUCACACCAUUUAUUUUGCAGGUCUACCUUGUAUUCUCCCUUUGGUAAUCCUUCUCUAUGGUCGAUGGUUUCACGGACGGAAAAGGUAUACCGAUCCCGAUCAAACUGAGUGACAUGAUGACUGUUGGAUUUAAUCACCUCAUUCCUCAGAUAUUUCAUGCUGUUUUCUGAGAAUGGCUCACCAGAAUUUACCCUUGCCGCUGCCUCAUGCCCUCUUUUAGCAAACAAGGCCGCCAACCUGUAAUAUGAUGCUUUUACAAUAGCUGUGAUAGGGAGUCCUCGAAUACCCUUAUACACGUUGUUUUGUGACUCUACCAAGUUACUUGUCAUAUGGCCCCAUCGUCGACCAUCGUCAUGUGAUUGAGUCCACUUUUGUUUGGGAAUAUUGUCGACCCAUGCUAAAGCCUUUCGGUCUGCAACAGCAAUUUCAGAACGGUAAUAUUCGAAUGUAGGGAUGUUCAUGGCGUAACCUGCAUUGUUUGGGAAAAAGUUAAAUGUGUCUUUUUAAACAAAUAAUAUGUCGAAUUUACGUGGAAAGAGAUAUGAUUUUUACCCAUGCCUUCAACUUUCUUCUUAAGUUCUCCAUCCUUGAAUGAUCUCAUAAAGUUUUGUGCAAUGUGUCGGACACAAUACACAUGGCUUGUCGGAGCACCGUGCCAUCCAUUCUGUGGAUCAUCAUACGCGCUCUUUAUCGACACAUGUCUAUCAGAAAUGAGGCAUAUGUUCUCCUGUGGGGUGACAUGCUGCCUUAGAUUCUUCAAAAAGAAAUUCCAAGCCUCCUUGGUCUCGCCUUCCACGAUUGCAAAAGCAAUGGGAAAUAUCUUGUUGUUCCCAUCUUGCACAACAGCUAACAACAAUGUUCCUUUGUAUUUACCAUACAACCAAGUUGCGUCAAUUUGGACAAUGGGAAAUAUCUUGUGUGCUAUAUUGUUGUUGUGGUAGACUUUGGUGUUGACUAGAACUUGAUGGGUAAUUUAACUCAACAUUAGAUGUUGGAUUCGUCAUCUCAAACAUAACAUAAAGCUCUAUAUAGGACAAAGAACUGUGACUUUUAUGUACGUUAAACAUAAACUCGACAUCGUCGUUAUCUGUUAUUCUUAACGCCUGGUAGUGAAUUGUGGUAGUUCCAACAAACAUGGGAUUCCGGCAUAUAAUUUCAGACACAACCAUGUUAUCUCCGAGACAUAACUUUUUCACUAUUCUUUUUUUGAGAUGCAAGUAAGUACUAGCCAUGCUCACUUUAAAACCUUUGGUAUACUGACUUUGGAAAAAAAUGCCGGAUUCAUUUUGUUUAACUUCUCCAUUGUAGUACAUAAAAAUGUUUAUAUUUGGUGCCAUUGAAUGGUUUGAUGUUAAGAAAUGAGUAAGAGUAUGAAGUAGAGUGGUGUGAUACAAUUAUAAUUAUAACAGGUUCACCACUUUUAUAAAAUUGGGUAAAAAAUAAAACGCAAUGGCCAAAUGCUUCGUCACGCGCCAGCACGCACCAGUUCAUGGCAUCACGCAGCUCCCACUUGCGGGGUCGGGCACUCACGCGCCAUCUUCAUGCCAGCACGCUACUCCCACUUGCGGGGUAUUACUUACACGCGCCAGUUUAAUUGGCCCUUCAGAUAUAGCUGGUCAGUACAAAUAAUGCAUCUACCAUGCACGUGAUUUAGCAUGGUUUGGUCAUUUCAGUCAAAAAAUUUAUGCAGAAAAUAAUGCAUUUUUUGCAUGCAAUGGUCAUUUCUACAUGCAAUUGUCAUUUCUACAUGCAAUACUGUUGAACAGCAUGCCUCUGCUUUUACAUGCAAUUGUCAUUUCUACAUUUAUUUGAACACUGUUGGCAUGCAUGCAUUGCAGUAGUAACACGUGAUUUCUUCACUUCAAUUAAAAUACGACACUACUAUUUCAAUUUCUUUACACAUAGUUUAACAUUACAAAUACCACAACCUUAUUCUUACUCUUUACUCUUUUUAUAUCAAUCCUUUUCUUCCUUAAUUCUUACUCUUUUUAUAUCAAUCCUUUUCUUCCUUACUCACUCACGUAACAAAUGGCAUACUUGUGGUUGGAAAAUGAUCUUAGAUCCACGGAAAAACACAUCAGAAGAUGGGUAUAUAUGAAUAUUAAUUUGUUAAUUUUACUUACAUUUUUUAAAUUACUUAUUAUAUCUUCUCUUUUUAUUUUUUGUUAGGAUGCAGAGGGUGUACCUCUUGUCACUCGUACACGACAACACAUAGUACCAAGUCCUUUUAUUCAAGAUUAUCUACGUCAAGCUGGAUUUUUUGAGGUUUCUCAAAUAGAGCGUUACAAAAUUGAUAGGCACAUUGUAACCACUCUUGUAGAAAGAUGGCGGUCCGAAACUCAUACUUUUCACUUUCGAACGGGUGAGUGUACUAUCACUUUGGAAGACGUCUAUAUGUUACUCGGCUUACCUUUUGGAGGUUCAAUUGUUACGGCUCCUCCAACUCUUCCGUGGAAUCUUUGUGCUCAUUUGUUGGGAAUAACUCCUCCGGCACACAAAACUGAUGGUUUUACUCUCUCCUUGUCGUGGUUAAAGGAUAAUCUGGUCGAUAAUAACUUCAAUGAACAAUCUCCUCCAGAGGUAAAAAUACAACACACUAGGAGGUACCUACUAUACCUCUUUGGAGGGUUCUUGUUUCCAAAUACAACUGGAUUAUUUGUGCACACCUCUUGGUUGUAUUUGUUAAUGGAUUUUAAUGAAACAAGAAAACAUAGUUGGGGAUCGGCAGUUUUGGCUUACCUUUAUCGUGGCUUGUGUGAGACCUCACAUCCAAAUAUAAAAGCACUAAAUGGAUGUCAUUUCUUGUUACAAGUUUGGGGAUAUUGUCGGUUGAGUUAUAUCGCUCCGAGAAAUGAUAACCUACUCCAGUGGCCGCUAGGAUUAAAGUAAGCGUGGCCAAUUUUUUUUUUUAUUAACCCACUCACAUAUUCUCGCUUCUUAUUAAUAUUAUUAUUUGAUAAAUUAGCUACUAAUUUCUUUAUAUCAUUUGUUAGAUGGACAGGUGUAGGUUCAAGAUACUACGAGAAUCCAAGCCAUGAUACUAUAUCUUACAGAAAAAAGUUUGAUGACAUACUACCACAUGAUGUAAUAUUUUAAUUGAUUUUUGAAUUAUGAGUUCAUAUAUAUAUAUAUAUCAAAAUUGUUAACCUUACACUACAACUUCUCUCUUGUGCCAGUUUAAAUGGAGACCUUACAAGAAGGUUCCAUACAACCAGCCUGAAGACUAUUGGAAAUGGACAGCAACAACCUUCCUUAUAUGUUUUGACAAAGUUGAAUGACAUCCAACUGAUAGGGUCAAGCUUCAAUUUGGUUUGCCACAAGAAAUACCCGGGGUCCCAAGAGACAUGCGACAAUUUCAUACGGUGGACAAACGAUUCAAGACGUGGUACCAAUCAAACGGUUUUCGCUUUCCAGAAGAAAUCUUACAUUGGGACAACCGACAGAGUCAUACUUUACCUCGCAUGCGGCCAAGAUCACUCACCCCAACUCAUGCGUAUAUUGAGUGGUUGACAACCACAUGCAACCCACGUCUAAGGAUUUCAGUUGACACAAAACCAUCAGAUUCAGAUCCAGACGAACAAGAAGAGCUGGAACAUGAACCCGAAAUUCACAACAACCAAACACCAAUUCAUGAUGAUUUUUGGGAUCAAGAAAUUUUUUCUCAACUACAAGAUCAUCAAUCCCAACCACAUACAACACAAAACAUUCAUGGUUCUGUAAUGUAUGAAUUUCUCGCCACCCCCCAACAAAAUGUCAUCCAACCACCACCAUAUACCUCCCCGAGAAAUGCAUAUGAGCCCCAUUAUGAGUCAACUUACCAACAAAAUUCAAUGCCAAAUUAUGGUUACAAUGACCCAAACCAAGCUAGCACAUCCAACACCAACUACUUCUCCUAUAAUGACUCAAACCAAGCUGGACCGUCCAACACCAAUUACCCCCCCUACAACAGCCCACAAUACCCAAUGUACACCAACCAAAACUACAACCAUCCACCAACACCAACAAACCUAUUAUUUCACUUCUCUUCGGCUUCGUUCAACGACAAUGAACAAUUUCUGGAUAUUGGAUGGCAAACAAGGGAACACGAUGUGUCGUUGUCAUUGGGUUAUGGUAGUCAAAUACAAUCAGCUACAGAUAACAAUGACGAAGACCAACAUGACCCUCAAGUAAAUCGCGGAAGAAAUCGUCGAAGACGAGGGUGUGGGACGGCCGGGCAUUUAUAAUAAUUGUAGAUAUUAUGAUAUUUAAUUUGUUUAUUAUUUUUUUUCCUUCUUUUUUGUUUAUUAUUUUUUUUGUAUUUAAAAAAAAAAAUGGAACGCAAGUUACACUUGCAGGGUAUUAAAAAAAUUUUAAAUAUACCCCGCAAGUGGGGGUUGCAAGGUAGUAAAAUUUAAAAAAAAAAAAAAUCAAAAAAUACCACGCCAAUUUGACUUGCGGGGUAGUUAAAAUUUUUUUAAAAAAUUUUAAAGGUACCCCGCAAGUGGGGGUUGCAAGGUACCAGAAAUUCUGAAAAAGUAGGACAUUUAUGCAAUUUUUUGCAAAAGUGAAGCAUUUUUGUAUUUUUGGACACAAACAAGGGCAGAAAAAAAAAAAAUUUCGUAUAUUUACUGCAGACGCAUCUUCAGCCAGCCCAUGAAAAUCUCUAUUUUAGAGCAGAAUUAGCCACACAAUCACAUCAAUCUUUUUCACAUUUUUCAUUCGGGAUGACUUCAUACUGUCAUUGGAUGAAGACAGUAAAUUUCAAACCAAAAAAGUGAAAUAAUCCAUAAUUUCCAUUGCCAUAAUUUCUGUCUAGUCGACUUACUCACAGUGGUACCACCAAUCAUGACUACUUUUACCUUAAACACCUAGUACAAGUACAUGUAGCGGUAACGAAAUAAGAAGAAACAAUCACAGUUACACAAGUCACAACACUGCGUUUAGUUUAGUAGGACUUUAGGAUUUUAUUUUAAAUUUAAAACUAGUUACAACGGGUUCAAUAACGUAUUCGAUAAAAAAAAAUUUGAAAGAAGAGAUGUUAAAACGACGGAACAUUGUGAUUCAUCAUAAAAUAUAUAUGGACUGAUUAAGAGAGCAUAUAAUCAGUUUAUGAGAUUAUGAAUUGACAUAAUAUUUAGGAUGAAAACAAUUGGAACCAAUAAAUGAACCAAUGAUGUUUGAAUUAUGAUUACAUAUUAUCCCAAAUUAUAAAAUAGAGUGUUAUUGUUAUAGAGUUACCAAAAAAUGAUUGAUACCCAUAUUUACAUCAAAUGAAAUAAAGCAAAGAAGUAGCAUCGGUGAGUGAAGAUAAUCUAGUCUAGGAUUAGAGUUAAGGUGAUCUGUUGAAAGUGAGGAUCAUGAACACCAAAUCUUUAUUUGGAAACGACUUGAACGUGCAUAUUUUUAGGUGGCUUCUCUAGAUCAAAAAUUAGCUUGUCACCUACCUCUAACAUAUGUUCUCGGCAAAAUUUGAACCAUUGGCCGCCUAAGUAUUUUCGUAACUUGCUAUCUUUGUCGUUAUCAAGCGACACUUAUACCUUUUUUUGAGCUUGUUUGUCGAUGAGUGUGAUUGUUUUUCGUGUUCCUUUUAGAAAUGUCAUCGAUAUCUCAUUUGAGAAGUGCUAGGUACAAAACAAAUUGCAGUGUUAAUUAGAUGUUAUAUAUAUAUAUAUAUAUAUAUAUAUAUAUAUAUAUAUAUAUAAGUACAUUUCUAAAACAUUUACCAAAGCAUUAUAAAGAUUUGCUGUAGAUAAAGAGCAUGUUCUAUUUUAUUCAAGAGAUUAGGAAAACAACAUUACAAUUAACAUGAUACUAAUUGGAAUCAAUGAAGGAACCAACAAUGUGCAGAUUAACGUUAUAUAGUAGUUAGGUUUAUAAAAGAGAUUGUAAGUGUCAAAGAUUAACCAAAAAUGGAUUUUUGCCAAUACUUACAUCAGACAGAAUGAAAAUAACAAAUGGCAUCCCAAAGUCAAGAUAGUUUACGAUUACAGUCCAAAGUGAUACAUCAAAAUAGUAGAAGUUCAAAUAGUUCAACAACAAAGAUCUACGUUGGAACAACUCGAACGUGCAAGUUCUUCUGUGACUUUUCGAGAUCAAAGAUGAGCUUACCACCUUCUUCCAUCACUUGUUAUCUGCAGAAAUUAAACCACUGCCCACCCAAGUAAUUUUCAUAGCUUGCUCUAUCGGCAGUAAUGAGGUGACAAUUAUAUUGUCUAUGUGUCUGGUCAUCAAUAAGAGUGAUAGUUUUGCGCUUUCCUUUCAGAAUCGUUCUUGACACCUCGUUUGGGAAAUGCUAAACAGGAAAAUAACUGCAAUAUUAGUCUAAUGCAUAUUUACAUGGAUAAGAUGUAAUCGAAUAUAGUUACAUAUAAUUUAUAAAAUAAAGGUAGCAUAACUGAUUUUAAGCUAAAGAAAAUGUAACAUGACUUCUAAUUUAUCUUCCUAUAAAGUCUAGAUAAAUGCAUGCAUGUACAUUAUAUGUACCCCGUUGACCAAUUAACAUUGUUGAAACAAAUGGAAAUUAAGCAUCACUUCCGCAUGUGCAUAUAUAGCUAGCACCAUUUGACAUUGAUGUCUUCGAACAUUUAGUGCAACUCUCAUAAUACAAUCCAAACUGGUUAGGAUUGAAUUUAGUUGUUUUCCAGAUAGUGAUGCAAUAUGUUUCCUAACACAAAUUAUGCACCUAAAAUAAAGAAUAAUGCAAUAUGUAUUUUUUAAUUUGUGCGUAAAAAAACUCAAAGCAUGUUUGUGCAUAAAAAAGCAGACAUUGACUAAGUUUAUAAAUUCAUCAAUUGGCCUAACCUGAGACAGUUUGGAAAAAUCGUUGUACGAAGUACGUUGAGAAGAAGUCGAACUCUGACUUAAGUUCUAACUGAAGCUUUGACUCUGAGCUUGAGAAGUGUUAAGGUCACGACAACAAUUCAAGAAACAUGGUCAAAAAACAAUUAAAUCGAAAUGUGAAAAAUAGGUUACUCUAACACUGUAUUGUGAAAUCAUAAUGCAAACUUACUAAGUCUUAAACUUAUCAACAACAGGAUGAUGUAGGUUGAUGAGCAACCUCGAACCUGACCAAUUGUUACAUAUAUUUGGGUUGCCAUUGACUACAAAAUGGAAGCAAAGAACUCAAGGUAAAUAGAUGGUAAAUGAUAAAGCUACGGAGUAUUUUUCCCAUAGUGUUACAUCAACUAUAUUCCUACUACAUAAGGAAAUACAUUUCUCGGGUCUUUAUCAAACUUAUACAAAAUUCUAUCAUCUGAUGCUGACAAAAUAGAAAAUAAUAUCUUUUGUAUUUAGCAAUGUUUAGUUUUUUUGAAUAAGAAAAAGAUAUGCAUAGUUUGUUACGAUAUAAAGGUGUAAUAUAUACACACAUAAUUUAUAUAUAUAUAUAUAUAUAUAUAUAUAUAUAUAUAUAUAUAUAUAUAUAUAUAUAUAUAUAUAUAAGAUAAGCAUAAUUUUUUUAGGCAUCUAUACCUUUUUUGAAGAAAAGACAUCUACAAUUUUACUUUUAAUUAAAAUCAAAAUUUUAUAAAUAUUAUACGCAUUAGCGUAACAAAAAAACAGACACACAUAAAGUAUUACUCUAAACGCUAAUAUGUGUGUCUGUAUAUUUGCAAGGUUGAAGAAAGAAAAUAAAAAUAUUUUGUAUCAUUAAAUGAUAACGUGAAUAAAAAUAUUUGUGAGGUUGUUAUAAUUAAACGAUAUUUAAAUUAAAUAUAUAAGUGAUAAAAAGAUAAUAAAAUUUCUUUGAAAAAAAGGUAAUAAAAUUAAAUGGAACCUCCUUUAAAAAAUUAAAUGGAACGGCUAAAAAAAAAUUAAAUGGAAGAAAAAAAACAUAUUGAAAUAUAAUAUUAGAAAAUAAAAGAAAAGGUUCCCAGCGUGAGUUGAAAAGAGGUGCUUGUGAAAUAUAUUGUCGAGAAGUAGUUUUUUAAAAGUAGCAUUUAACAACUUUUGGCCAAAACUCAUUCCAUUUAAUUUUAUGCAUUAGAAAAAGUUCCCUUUCUAGUAACUGAAUUUGGGAGAAAAAAUUGGAAAAUAGUUAAAAAUAAAAAAAUUGGAAAAUAGUUAAAAGUUUUUAAAAAUAUAAAAAUUGGAAAAUAGUUAAAAAUGAGAUAGCACUCAACCAAGCAACACUAAAAAAAAUUAUAUGCAUCAGCGUAACAAAAACGCAGACAGACGGCCAUAAAAUAUUACUCUAAACAGAUAUAAGUAUUGAUUCUUUAAAAAAAAAAAAACAGAUAUAAGUAUUGAGUACAUCACUCAUAUAUACAACAAAUAUUACAAAAAAAUAAACGAUAUUCAAAAGAAAAAAUACAAAUAUUUUAUGAGUGAUGUAUUCAAUUUAUUUAAAGUUAAAAAAUUAUUCUUCUAAGUCAAUGUAAAGGGUGUGGUUAUCAUGCAUAAAGAAAUCCUUAUGCACCGUGCAUAAAUCUCAGCCCAUUAACCGGUAGCCCAACAUAAUUGCUUCAUACACUCCUGAAUGAAACCAAACGCGGGACAAAACAAAACGAAUCAAAUGCGGAAACAAACUGAAUCAUCACCGUCGGUCAUCAUCAUCACCACCAGAAUCUUCAAUCUCAUCAUCAACACCGUAAUUCAUCAUCAUCACCGUCAUUCACCAUCAUCAUCACCGUACCGAAAUCAUCAUCAUCAUCACCAUCGUCAUUCAUCAUCAUCACCGUCAAUCAAAAUUGUAUAUGUUAGUUGGAAAUGAUUUCAGAGUGUUGAUUUGGUUCAAUGACAGUCACAAAUGUCCUUAUUAUAGUAUGUUUUGUAUAAAAUUAUGCCAAAAUCAUUUUGCUGUGGAAAUGGUUUUUGUGAGUUGUACUCCAAAACCAUUAGAUGUAUUUAAUGGUUUCCAGCAGGUGAAAAAAACUAAGGACCUAAAGCCAUUGCCAUCAUUCAAUUUUGGAUUGACACAAUUGGAGGAGGAGGAUAUAAAUGGUUUAUGUGACUUGUACUCCAAAACCAUUUUGCUGUGGAAAUGAUUUAUGUGAGUUGUACUUCAAAACCAUUAGAUGUACUUAAUGGUUUUCUUUGAUCCAGCAGGGUGCAUAUUACAAUCAAAAAUAAAAAACAUAUGGAAUUUUCUAACCAUAACAGAAAAUUUUCAAAACCAUUCAGUCACCAACUUUGAAUUCUUAGCAACAAAAUCACAAUUAUCAGAAAAAUUUCCAAUUUGAUUUCGACAUUUUCUCAAACCAGAUCCAUCAUCAAUUUUCCCAAUCAAAUUCAAAUCAAUCCCUAAUCCCUCCAACUCAUUACUCCAAAUUCCCCUCCUCUUCAACGCUGUCCUUUCACAAUCAACUUCAAUUGAACUUCUCUUCCGUCGCCGACGCGUGUAAACAAACAAAAGCGGCGGUUUUGGAAAAUCCUCCACAAAAAACAACGUCAUCUUAGACAUGGUUUUUUCAAUUUCAAUCGUUGAAUCAUCGAUUUCACCAUUACUGAACUGAAUCUCGUUCUCCAGGAUUAUUACUGAACUGAAUCAUCAAUUUCACCAUUACAAACAAAAGUUGGUGCUUGAAUUCAAAGUUGAUAGACUUAGGAUUAUUACACGUGUAAAACAAAUCUGAUGGUUGUGAAGUGUUUAUGUAGGGUACAUAAGAAAAUGACUUAUGCAUAAUAACUUUUGCCAAUAUUUAUGUAGGGGAAUCUUAAUGCAUAUCCAUUCAAAAAUUAAGAGAUGUUCAUUAACAAUGUGCACUUUUAUAUUUUGAAAAGAAAAAAAUUACAUCUGUAUAAUUAUUUUGUGAUAACUUUCUUUCUACAAAUGCUUGUUCAAAUAACACACUUUAACGUAAAAGGUGUACAUUGCUAAUCAACGUCUUUUAUAUUUGUUGCUCCAUGUUGUAAUAGGUUUAGAGUACUUCUUGUUCUCUUGUUGUCUAUUUUAUAUAAUCUUCUAUUUUUUUUUUUUUUAAAAAAGUUGUUUGUCCUCAUAAUCUCAAUUGUUAGAAAAGAUCUCCAAAACAUUUGUUGAAAUAUAACAAAAAAAUUUCACAUACACAACUUUUGACAUCAGACAUCGUAUAAAUAUGUGUUGGAUUUUGUUACUAUUAUUUCUCUCACUUUGGUUGGAAAACAAACUAGCUCGAGAUGUUUUUUAUAUACGGUGUCGGUUUUGUGUGUUAAAAUAACACUCCUCGAAAUAUAAUGGUCAUGCAACAUUCUCAAAUAAUGUGGUCGGUUUUAGAAUGUGUUUAUUAUGUGUGUGUGUGAUUGAGGUUGGUAAUUUCCUUCACAAUAGUGCUAUAUGUCCCGAGUUAAAACACAACGAAUUUAUCUAAAAGAGUUUCUCACGUUAGAUUAGUCCAAGGCUGAAAAAACAUAUGGUGGGAUGCAAAAGAGGGACCUACUACAAUAAACAGUGUAUGGGAAUCUGUUCGGGAUACAUUCGCGUCAAUUGUGCUCGCGAUAAGAAGCAUUUUCCUUUCCUUCAAGGAAAAAAUCUCCAAUUGCUGGUCAAGGUUAAACAUUCAUGAAGGUAUGUCAUUUGGUUUGCUUCAUGCUAUGCAAUAGAGAUGAGAGCUAGACAUGGGUAUUGACAACGUCACUUUUGAACUCAAUUCAAAAUAAUUAGUGGUGAGAUUCAAUAGUUAGGAUCAAUGCAAUCCAUCCAAACAUUCUAAAUCCUUAUGCUUUAUACCCUAGAAAUACAUUUUUGUUAAAGACAUCUAGGCCUCCAAACAAAUUAACUGAUACUAUUGAAUUGACACAAUUUCUUCCACGUCUUUUAUCUUAUUUAUUUGUAACACUUUAAUCGUCAUUUAUCUCUUUUGACACUUUCAAAUCUUUUAUUUCUAUGGUUUCCCUUUAUCUUUCUCUUUUGACACGUUCAAAUUCUUUAUCUCUAAAAAUGCGUACAAGUUAGUCAUUAUUUUUUGUAUUUUAUUAAAACAACGCUGAGGUGGCUUGCUAAGAAUUAUUAUUAGAAGUAAUACUUUUAUUUUUAUAUAACUUUUUUACUAAAAAAACCUGAAAAAAAAUAUCUUCAUCUUUUUCGUAUAUUUAUCGAGUUCAACAUCAUCUUCAAACCCAUAAAACUUUAUUAUCAAAUCAACAUCCUAAAUCUUCAAAUUUGUAGUGGCUCAAGAUCAAAAUCCAUGAUCUAUCAUAAAAAAGAAACUCAACUAAGAAAGAAGAAGUUUACAACACAUCUUAAUCAUCCAAUUGUUGAUGAUUCGAAGUUUGCAACACAUAUCAAAAUCUCAAUUUAAUUUCAUCAAUUUCCGAGUUUAAGAUGAUGAUUAAAAGAGAAGAAAAUUUGUAGGUUUGGUGUUUUUUGGGUUCUAAUUCGAGCUACUAAGAUUUAGGGUUUUGAUUUAACUUUAUGGGUUUGAAGAAGAAGAUAGCUAUAGAAGAUAUUUAAGAUGAUAAACAUAUAAAAAUAAAGAUGAAGAUUGCUUGAUUUCAAUUUUUUUAUUGAAAAAGAAUAUUUAAAAAUCAAAUUAUUAUUAAUAAUCCUACAUGGCAAACCGCCUCAACGUUUUAAGAUAAAUAAGAUAAAGAACAAUUUUUUUGCUAAAAAAAAAGAUAAAGAACCAUUUCAUUUGAAUAAGUUUGCCUACUUAAUACUAAUAAGUUGAUAUUUUGCAUAAUUUCCAUGUAGCUUAGUUGGUUAGUUGAUUGAAGUGUGUGUUUGGUUUUCCAUUUGCAACAUACUAAAUCACAUUUUCCAAUACGUUUUGUCGUGACUUUUAGAAAUUCCAAAUAUUAACUUCUACGAUAACAUAAUUUUUUGUUGUGAUUUUCAUCAAACUCCGUUUUGCAAACGUUGUAUCAAAUAGACACAAUUUUUGUUUUUUUUUUUUUUUUACUCUUGGGUGGGAGACAAAGUUAUGCAUAAAACAAGCUGAUUGUUUGGUUUAACCCGUCCUAUGUAAGUAACUUCGAUAAUCUGUUGUUAAGCCAAGAGGCUAGCAUUAGCCAAUAAUUAUUCAAAUUUAAAUGAGUACUCCAAUAAGAAAGAUUUCAUGAAAUGUGCAUGUUAUUAUUAUAAUAGUAAAGAUUCAUAGAAAAAUCGGAUGAAGACCUUCAAUGAUACUCUUUAAUUUUGAACUUGAGUAAAAAUUUAGUAAAUAAUUCUUACAAAUUGGAAUAUACAAAAGUGAAAUCAUGUAAGCAGAUUAUGCGACAGAGAGAAUCAGAUAUGGCCACAUCCCCAAAAAAGUUGUAUAGACUCAGAAAGGAAACAUGACGUAUAUAUUGAUGCUCCUCCUAUCUUUAUUUGACAUUCCAAAUCAAAUCAUAAUAAUAAUAUAAAAUCAUAUCAUAUCCUUUCUACUUUUUAUAGUUCUUUAUUAACUUUUGAUAUCAUAUUUUUUAAGAUAGAUUUUGCAUAUGGCAGCACCUGCAACCAGGUAAUUUUCGACAACCAAAUAUAUAAGACGGCUCUGUCACAUAGAUACACAGAGGUAGCAGUGAAAACGUACAGAUAAUGCUUCCUCAUUAGUGUCUUUAAUCAUUAAUUUCUUCCCAAAUGGCUGCAACACCCAUCAUUCUAAUUUCUAAUUUUUAAUUAUUAAAUCCUUGAAUUAUCCCACCAUUAUAAAUAUAUGUGUCUUCUUCUUCACAACAUGCAUAUUAAAUUAACCUAGCUACGUAUCUCCAAUAUUUAUAAUGGCUUCUAAGUUCAUCUUUUCUUCUGUCUUUUUACUUGUUCUUUUCUGCUUGCUUUUUAUCAAGGAGACUUCUGCAGGUUAAUUAAUCUUCUAUUUCUGUUCUUUUUAUUUCUUUUUUUUGAAUAAGUUAAAUUUUUUCAUGUUUCUUGUUAAAGUAUAAUUAUUCAUUGUAUUAGUAUAUAUAAUAAAUAAUUUAUUUUUUACUUGUAGGUUGCAAUACUGCAUAUGCAUGCUCUUAUGCUAAUGGCGAAAGUCUCAAAAUGUUCCAAAACAGGAAGGUUUGUCACACUAUUUUAGGCUUCUAGCAUAAAUACAUAUAUCCAUUUUUUUCUAUGAAAAUAAAAUAUUUAUUUUUAUUAUAUAUUGUGCAGAUGCUGUCUGGUUUGAAGGUUAGUUUGGAAGGAUCUUCAACCAAGAUCAAGUAUGGUGAAAAGACAGUGGUUGGAGAGUUGAGAAAGGUUCCUACAGGUCCAGAUCCACUGCACCAUCAUAACAUUGGCAACCCUAUUAAGCCUGAAAACCCUUGAACUCAUUGAAGAAAAACUAGUUUCUAUGUUUUGGUCUAGUAUUUGUUACAUGUAGUCAUGUGAAAAUGGAAGUUUAAGUCUAAGUAAUUUUGUUUGUUUUGUCAUUUUGUAGAAACAUGUAGCUUGUUAAUUUCUGUUCUUUCUUGUGUUUAUUAAGAAGUUUGUAAGCUCAUUCAGUAGAAUUUAAUUUAUCAUCAUCUUUUGGUAUAUAUCUCUUGUUUUAAAAUUAACAGAGGUUCCAUGAUUUAUUUUAAUAUAAAUAGAUUGUGAAAGCAAUUUAAGUAUAAUAAUAAUAAUAAUAAAAAGCGAGGAAUUUUUUUUCUCUCAAAUAAAUACUCAAAUUUUGGCCAUUAAAAUUGUAUGACUGUAUCAAAUGUAGUUCACAUUAAUGAUAUUGCAUAAUGAUACUCAAGUUGUAAAAUUUUAAUCAAAUUUGUUCUUCCGUUGGUAUUUAGAGUGCUAGAAAUAACGUUAUAUUAGUACAUCAAGGAUGAAUUUGAAACUAAGUGAGUAAUACCAUGUAUGCAUUUGAUAACUAAUAGAUUCAAAUAGAGUAACACAUGUACCCAAAAAAAAAAAAAUCAAAUAGAGAAACAUAUUUUUAGGUACCUUUGUUUUGGCUAAAGCUGUGUCAUUACCGUGUACUGUUUCGACUGAUGUAGGAGAAGCGUUUGGGUUGCACGCUGCUCUCCAAUGGUUGAGCGACAUGCAGUUUGAUAGUGUGGAUUUUGAAACAGAUUCUAAAUUGUUUGCUGAUGCUUUUCUCUCUGAUAGGAACGACACAUCCGAAUUUGGCUGCAUUAUUUCUUCUUGUCGUUCGUUGUUCACUGCUUUAUUUUUCAACUCUCGGGUGGAGUUUGUUAGGCGACAAGCCAACGAGGUUGCUCAUGCUCUUGCAAAAGAAGCCACAUUACUAGCUAGUCCCGUUGUUUAUUUUGAGAUACCCAAUUAUAUUGAAAUUAUUAUUAUCAAUGAAAUACUAUAAGCAUGUUUUCUUAAAAAAAAAAUGAAUUGUUUUAGAAUAUUGCAAACGUAGAGAACUUAAUUAGGUUGAUGUUGAACCUCCACAACAAGGGAAAUUUAACUUCUUAAGCCUUUGUACCAAACAAAUAUCUCCAUUGAAGAGAAAAAAAAUAUACCCAUAGAGAAGAGGGUGUUACUAAAUUUUUUUGAGGUAAUUAUAUAUAGUUUUUUUAGGAUAUGAUGAUACAAAGCUGUUAGUAAAUCUUGAUAAAAAAAAAACUGUUAGUAAAUGAUAUAGUUAGUAAUGUGAUUCAUUUAAUAAUUUUUUUUUUUGAUGUAGUGAGUUAAAAAAAACAAAGUGGUUAUGAAGUAUACCAUUAAUAAAUUAUAAUUAACUUAAGGCUUUUUUUGGUUACAAUUAACUUAAGGCUUUGUAACAACAUAGAUUACUAUAUUUUUAAUUUUAAAAAUAUUAUAACAACACAUAUUAAAUUUGAAGAAUUAAGAAAAAUUCUAUGGUGAAGUCAUGAGAAUGACUUUUCUGGUGAAAUUAAUACUAUAGCAUCAAAAGUGUUGCGAGUAACACCUCACUGUUUGUACAGUGACAUCAAAAGUUCAGUCCUCAUAGUAUCAUCAAUUCAUCAAAUUAACAAGAAUACACUUAAUCUAAUUUUUUAUCCUACCUUGUUUUAAGUGUAACACCCUACAAAGUGUAACACUUAAGACUAUCACAUGAUACCAGCAACUCUGUUUCCAUGUUAAAGAUGCCAACGAUAAAAUAGUACCGGUAAGUUCAAGAUGUUGCAAGCAUUAUUAAACAUUAAAAUUAAAAUUAGCUUUUUCAAAAAAGUCAAUUUCAUGAAUGCACCAUAGAAGCUCCCUUAAUAUAAACCUUCCAAAACCCCUCAAAAUCCUCCUCCAAAUUUUUUUAGUUCCCUCAAAUGAGGAGGAUUUUGUAUAAUGAAGAAAAGUUAACCUCCCAAAGCCCUUAUCUCCCAUUUUUCUUUAUUUCUUCAACUUGUUCAUUCCUUUUUUUCCAAGCCUUCCCCUUUAAACUCGCAAGCAAAGUCCCAGUGUAUAUGUAAAAACUCAUCCAAGUACUUAAAAAAGAGAGGUUUUAUAUUCUAGAAGAUCUUAGCCCUACAAUUUCUAUGAGUAAAAACAACAACUAAGUCUUACGGAGGUUCCUUUUUCCACCAAGUGUGUUCGUUUAUAUGGAUCAAAUUAAUUACACUAUAACCAUAAUGGUUUGUCAUAAACCAUAUUUCAGUUCAACUCAUUACGUUUUAAAUAUUUUAUAAUAGUUUUUCUAAUAUAUUUUUUUUAGGUUUUCAUUUGUCUAUUUUGAUCUGAUUAUCCUUAAUAUUUUAUAAUCGCUCUUUUGUAUAAUGAAGAAUCAAUAGAUCUCUUUACAUGCUCAAACAACCUAAGCAUAUUUUCCCACUAUUUUUUCUACUGUAGAUGCUACCCUGAUUCUUUUUCUAAUAUCAUCAUUUCUAAUCUUAUCUCAUUUAAUUUUACCACAUAUCAAACGUAUCAUUCUACUUUUCGCUAUGCUUAUUUCAUUUUCAUAUUGAUUCUUCACCAUCAACAAUUUGAAGGAGUAACAUGAGUAUUUAUUUGUUUUCUCUAUAUUUUUUAGUUUUUCAAAUCUGUUUGUGUUUUUUUCUGUAUUUUGGUUACAGCUAAUUAACGGAUUGGACAGAAACAACGUUGACAUGAUGUGUUUUUAGCUUUUUUCGUCAGGAUACUACAAAAAUAUACUACUCUAUAUACGCAGAAGAUUUCCUUCAAGUCUUGUAAUAAAUAACUAACUUGAAGUUUCUAUUCUCAAAUGUGUUUGCUCAUGCUGACGUUGGGUAGUAGGAUAUGAAAGCAAUCAUUACUACUUGGGGGACACAAUUUAAUCAUUUUUAUUUCUUUAAAAAUCACCCAAGUAUCUAUAUAUUUGCAACAUUCCAAAAGCAAAUUUGGCAUCAUCUUAAUUAAGAAAAUGUUAAUUGAAAAAAAGUUGUUAUUUGAACAAUUAUCUUAUUCACAACUUCUGGGACAGUCAUAAAUUUACAAAGAAAAUGAGGUAUUGAAAAAGAAAAUUAUCAUAAAAGUUGUAAAAAAAUUGUUAUAAAGAUAUCAUUUUCCUUGAAAAAAAUCAAAUAGUCCAAUUUUCAUAACACCGAACUCAUCAAUUUCUAUAAAAACUUACUAUUUAAGGUUGUCGAAGAGUGCCCUUAUAAAAACUUAUUAUUUUAUUUUUUUCUGCAAUUAAAAAAGAAAAAAAAUAAGAUUGUCCCAAAAGUUGUAUAAAAUGGUUGUACAAAUAUCAUUAUCCUUUAAAAUAUAGUAUGAUGAAUUUUAUAUUUUGUGUAUGUUAAACAUUAUGGAAAAUGCUAAAGAGUGUUAUUAUGAUUCUUGUUAGAGAAAUUUAUAUAGAAACAUUCUUGUGAGAAAUGGUGAGAAAACGUUGAUUCAACUUUUUGAAUGUUUAAAAGACGAGGAGUGUUAUUUGAACAACCAUUUGGUUGACAAUUUAUGGGACAACCAUAAUUUACAAAGAAAAAAUAUGUUACAAAAAUCAAAGCAACAGAGAGAUAAAUUAAAAAAAUAAUGUGAGUAUGAAAGAGAAAGUUGUAACAAAAUAUGUAAGGUUUCUACUUUUUUAAUUCUUAACAAGUGUCCUUGUUAGCCAGACCCAAAUAUUAUUCUAUACCACUCAUUGAGGAUCACUUUUAGGAUGCACAAAUGCAUAAAUUGUCUUUGAUGCGCAAGGGUAAUUAAGCCUUUGAUUUUAGGCUAAUUAAAUCUAAGGUGGGCGAGUGAACUAAGUCUCCCACCAUGAGUGCGUUAUGUGAGUCGUUUGAUGAGUGAGGUUAUGAAGUAAAUUUCCCUAAUGGCUUCAGUAGCUCAUAAUUUUCAAAAAUCGUGUUUCUUCCCUCUUCUGCUCGUCAAAAGGUGAUUUUUCAUUGACCUAGGUGUCUAAUAUAUAUAGGCGAAUGUUUCCCAUAAUUUCAAGAACAGUUGGCCCGCGAUGCAGAGUCUUCCUGUCGCGACGCAAGUUGAGAUGAGAGUUAAUACCUUACAUUUUCUUUAGAUCCCAUGGCAUGCAACUUAUAGUACAUGACACAAGUUGAUGCGAGACUGAACAUGGCUAAUUCCCUUGAGAUCUUGCAACGCGUAGCGCAUAACAUACAUCACAAGCGAGGCCAAGGCUAGGUUAAGCUAUUUUCUUCAAUCCUUGUUCCAUUUCUUCUCACCAAAACGUCUUUAAUGAUUAUACCCCAAUAAUCAAUCAUGAUAAACUUGUAAAAAGCAUAGCACAGUCACAAAGUUGUCUGAUUUUGGUGGAUUUUCAUGGUUUCAAGGUUAUUUUCCAGUUUUUUUUUCCUGUUCAAGACUUUUUAUCGAAUCAUUUAUAAAACUCGACUAACAUACAAUCUCACUUGCUACUUUAACUCUAAAUUGACUCAAAGGAGCCAAAAACCCUAUAUGAUUUUCUGUCAUAUGUAAAAAUGGUCAUGUCAAAGUUUUUUAGUUAAAAUUAGUCAUGGUCAAAAUGCACAUGAGGGGCUACUAAUUAUAAAAGAAGGUGAAAAUGAAGAGGGUGAAACUGAAGUAAAAAAUACAAUUAAACUUAAAUAUAAUUAGAGACAUAUGGAUACUAGUCAUUAUUUAGGUUUUUUUUGGAUGUUAAACCUCAUCAUAAAAAAGUACCCAAAAAUGAGAGGAGGAACAAAAUUUUCAAUAAAGUUAAAUCGAGGGACCAAAAAACUAGUUUUUUAAAAAGGGGUCGUAAACUUCAUUUAUUGUUUUUAUUUUAAAUAAGGGAAUCAAAAGUGCAUUAAUUUUAGUCUAUUUUUUAUUGUAAUAAAUGCAUUUUUCACCAUUUAAUUUUUUGUGCGAAUUCAAUCCCGAUGUCAAAAAAAAUAAAUUUGUGCGAAUUUGUUCCAUGGCAAUAAAAAAUUUAAAAAUAUUUCAAAUAUAACAAUAUUAUAGAGUCAAAUUAAUUAGAAUUUACUCAUAUUUCAAUUACAAAUGAUGAUUUAUUUUGAAUAAGAACAUAAAUACUUGAAGGAUCAUGAAUAUGGCUUGAAGGAAAUAUAAAUAGUUGAAGGAAUCAUCCCCAAUCCCCCGAUUUAUGGCAUGUUUUUAGUUCCAACAGAGUUAAUGAGUCUAUUGUGUAAUGGGUUUGGACCUGAAGAAACCAUCCUCGCCCUUCCGAUUUGUGGUUUGUUUUCAUCCUCAACGGAAACACUGUCGCUAUUGUGUAUUGGGUCUGGACUUGUAGGAACCUUCGUCAAUCCUCUGAUUUGUGAUUUUUUUUCAACCCGAUAGGAGUCAGCGACAUUCUUGUGUAUUGGGUGUGCAUAUGGAGGAACCUUCCUCAACCCUCCGAUUUGUGAUUUGUUUUCAUCCUCAAUGGAGUCAAUGUCGCUAUUGUGUAUUGGGUCUGGACUUGAAGGAACCUUCCGCAAUUCUCCAAUUUCUGUCUUUUCCCCAUAUUUGAUUCUUGAUGACGAUGAUCCUUGCUUACCAACCUUUAAAAAUAUAACUUUUGUAUUUCAAAUUAGACAAAGUUUUAUUUUAAAAUGUCGAAUAUGCAAAAAUAUUUUUAUGAGUCUUUAAAAAGAAAAUAUUUGUAAUGUCAUCUUCCUUUGUAAGAUUUGGAAGAACAAAAGUAUGCCAUUUCUUUGUACUAAAUUAAUUAGUUAAAAUAUAAACUGUUUUUCAAAAAUAAAAAUUAAUAUGUAGACAAGCCUAUAACAGUGUGACAAACCUUCCAUUUUCCUAUCUUAUUUAGACUUUCUCCAUUAGCAUCAACGCAUGCAUACGCAGAACUGCAACCUGCAAGUAAAGAAACAUUUAUUUAUCAUUAAUGAAAAAAAUUACUCAAUAAACACAUGUUCAUUUCUUGUAACCAAGAAAUAUAUGAAUUUGCAGCAAACAGAAAAAAUUGUUCAUUUCUCCAAAUUAACGUUUUCUAGUACCUGUUUAUUUCUACAAAGAUUUUAUUGUUGCUAGCUACUGUCUAUUAUUUAUUAUAUGAAUGCUUUAUAGUCCAAAAACUAUGUACUAACAUGAAGUAAACAAUGCUAAAUAAACAUGAAUAAAACCUAGCAAAAUACAAACCAAGUUUUUUUUUGAAAAAACUAAAUGUGAGAAACGGAGUAUAGAAAUAGAAUAUUGACAAACCAGAAGUCUCCCUUAUAAGAAGCAAUGAAAUAAGAACAAGUAUAAUGACAGAGGUAGGGAUGAAUUUUGACGCCAUUGGAGUAGAAGAGAAAUAUUAGUGGUGAAGAAGACUAAUGCAAUGCACGUAAUUAUAGUCAUGUGUGUGAUUCAAGGAUUUCAAAGAAAUGAUUAAAACAUAAAUGCACAUAAUCUUGUUAUCAAAUGGUGGGGCUGUAUGUGUGUGAUUGUUGAAACGCGUGAUUUGAAUGUAAAUGCAUAUCUGUCUUUAAUGAAUGCACAAUGAUUUUGUACUUAGAUUUUGUACUUGACAUCUUUAAAAAGUGAUAAUUUAAUCUUCAAGUUUUGUGCAAACCCUAUCUAGAUCGUUCAAUGUUAGGCUGAUCAUAAGACGAAUACGGUCAAAUUAGGCCACUAUGAUGUAGGCGAGUUUUCUUAGUAAUUUAUUACUAUUUUAUUAUUUAAGUCUAUCUUUAUUAUUAUUUUUUUCUUUUCAGUUUGUUAUUUUUAGGCUCAUUAGGGUUUGUUAUUUUCCUAUUUAAGCUUAACAGAUGUAACCUAAGAGGCAUAACUUUUAUUCAAUCAAUAAUACUUUAGAGUUUUUUCCUCAUUUUUUGGUGGAUUCCAAAACCCUAUUUUCACAAGUUUGUCGCUUGCAAACUUGUUCUUUUCAAUCGAGGUUUAGCGCUUGCUAGCCUACGCUUCCGUACUGCGUCAGUUGGUAUCAGAGCAUGUUUCUCAUGUUCUUUUGGGAGAUCAACCGGUUAGGAGGGCAUAUAUUGACGGAUUAGCUGCGACCAUCAAAGCUGUGGCGGAUCUGAUGACGGCGUUAUCCUCAACAACCACGACUCGAACGGUGGUGUUGACGGCUAAUAUUGUCAACAUCAACAAUAACAAAAAUCAAAACAUGAUAUGUGAAUAAAUUAGGGUUUCACGUGGUGGAAACAAUCGAAAUAUUGAGUCGGUGUUGCAAAAGGAGACUUUGACAUUCAAAUCGAGCGUUGCACUUGACAAUAAUCCGAUUUUCGGAUCUUCGUUGUUGCAGGUUUAUGUAGAUGAUAUAUUCGAUGGAGUUAGUGAAAAAACUGUCGGUCUUGAUGAUUUAUUAGAUAAGAUUGGUGGAUUGCAUGCACCAAGCGCUAAAAGUUCCAUUAAAAAAAAAUAGCAUGAUUUUGAUGACUUCAUGAUUGGGUUUGGUGGAAGCAGCAUAUCCAAUAAUGGGAAAGCAAGCAUUGAGAAGAAUAAUCCUCGGAAACCAACUGCCAUAUCUCAUAAUGAUCCGUUUUUAGUAUUUGAAAGCACAACAUCUUCAAAAUCAUUCCUGGACUCAUUAGAGCAAAUCACUAAGAAUGGUUCUAAACAUACAAGUGGCAGCUCAACACCUCCCCAUUAUCGAGGCCUUCUCCCAAGCCAACGAAUGUUUCAAACUCAAUCAACAGCUCAAGUUUAUCAUCAUCAAUAGAUGAGGUUGAGAACUUUGCCAAGGGCCGAGUGUAGAGUAAUCCUAGUAGAAAAGCAAAUGGCAUAACAUGUGUGCAAGAAAUCAAUUCAGCAAACCAAAUAUUCAACAACAAAUUGAAAGGUCUUGUUAAGUUAUCUACGUAAAUUCUUAUGGUAUUUUUCAAGAUAUUAUAAGUAACCCUUCAGCUUAUGGUUUUAGUGUUAUAAAUGUUGGAUGCCGUGGAGUAGGAAGGAACAAUGGUCAAAUUACAUGUCUACCAAUAGUGCACCGAGACAUUAAACCAAAGAACAUACUUGUGGUUGUGGAUGACAAUAUGGAGCAUAUUAUAGCUGAUUUUGGCACUGCACUACGCAAGAAGCAGUUUGAGGAUUCUGAUUAAUUUCAUAGGUUUCAUAAUCACUAUUUCUCGUGUAUCACAGGUUCCAUAAAUUUCAAUCAAUAGGAUCUAAGAGGGUGGUCUCUUAUUCAUUGGAAGAGUCAUCAUGCAUGGAAGCACUUUUAUCAGAACAAGAACUGGGAGUCGAGUUCUUCAUAGAUGGAGGAGACUCAUGUAGGAGGGUUUCCUUAGUAAUUUAUUAGUAUUUUAUUGUUUAAGUCUAUCUUAUUAUUUGUUUGUUUUAUUUUCAGUUUGUUAUUUUUAGGCCUAUUUUUUUGUGGUGGUCGGGGUUUAAACCCUAGACCUUGCAUAUCCUAUUCAUUGUCCAUACCAACUGAGCUAAGCUCACGAGGAGGACUAUUAUUUUCUUAUUUAAGCUUAAACAAAUGUAGCCUAAGAGGCAUAACUUUUAUUCAAUCAAUAAUAUUUUAGAGAGUUUUUUCUUAAUUUCUGGUGGAUUCCAGAACCCUAUUUUUACAAUUUUGUCGCUUGCAAACUUAAUCUUAAUCUUUUUAAUAUAGGUUUAACGCAUGCUAGCCUACGCUAGAUUUAGGGUGAGUUUGUUUGAACUUAAAAAAAACAAUUUAUGUUAAAACAAUAUCUAUAGAUUUUUUGUUGAAAUUUAAAAAAAAAAAUUAAACUAUUUCUGUUUGCAUCUAUAAAAAAAAAACUUUUUUCCUACCGAAUUAACCCUCUUAAUAGACACAAUCCGGCCACAACACCCAAACUUGUUCCGUUUGCAAAGUGUUUUUGCAGCAUUUCAAAAGCCACUGUCAAAUACAAUGAUCAAUCAAAAUAGAAUAUAGAAUCCUUAAAAAUUUGAACAACUCUCAUAACAUAAAUUCCUUUGUUUCAACCUAUUAGGGGUUUGGUUUAUUAACGUCAUGGCCAAACCUCAUGAACUCAAACCAUUAUACGCAACACUUCUCAACAAAUGUUUUUCCUCGAAAAACAUAAACAGCCUCAAAAUAAUCCAUGCACGCACAAUUCGUUUAGGUAUUUCACACGAUGAUUUCAUUCGAACCAAACUUGUUUCUUGCUAUGCUUCAUGUUCCAAAUUGCACCAAGCAAAUAUUCUUUUUUCAUUCACAAAUCGCAAACCCACUUUCCUCUACAACUCUCUCAUUAGAGCCUAUUUAUCUCUCAACCUAUUUAAAGAAACGCUUUCGCUAUUUCGCGAAAUGAGGUUGUCUUAUAAACCCUUUGAUUGCCAUACUUUGCCGCUUGUGCUAAAAUCUUGCGCUGGUUUAUCGGCGUUAAGGCUUGGGAAACAAGUUCAUGGAGCUGUUUUGGUAAAUGGGUUUGCGUUAGAUUUGAAAAAUUCUAAUGCUUUGAUAAACAUGUAUGCUAAAUGCGGGGAGUUAGAGUUUGCGCGCAAAGUGUUUGAUGGAAUGUGUGAAAGGAAUGAGGUUACUUGGUCGACGAUGAUGGCGGAUUUUGGAAUGCAUGGUAGGUUUGAAGAGGUUUUUGAGAUGUUUAAUAGAAUGGUGGAAGUAGGAGAGAGGAUGGAUAGUGUGAGUUUUACGGUUGUUUUGACUGCGUGUAGUCAUGGCGGGUUUGUCGAGAAAGGGAGGGAGAUUUUUGAGAUUAUGAAGGUGAGGUUUGGGGUGAAACCUGAUGUGAGGCAUUAUACAUGUAUGGUGGAUAUGUUGGGGAGGGUUGGUUUAGUGGAAGAAGCAGAGAAGUUGACAUUGAAAAUGGAUGUUAGGCCUGAUGAAGCUUUGGUGGGUGCUUUGUUUGGAGCUUGUAAAACUCAUGGGAGGGUUGAUGUUGCUGAGAGAGUUGCAGAGAAGUUUUAUGGGACAGAGCUGAGUGUUGUUGCAUCCUCAAUUUGAAUUCAAUAUACAUGAUGUUUUCUCAUAACAAGACAAGGCUAUAUAUAGACUAUAGUUCAUUCUUUUAUAUCUUUCUAGCAUAUGGGACCUAUCUCAUCAUGGGUGCUAGAAAACCAACCGAGGUUUUAAUUUCCCUAUAGCUACAUGUAAAUGAGAUGAUAACUGUUGGUGUAAAAUUUUUCUCUUUCAAUUUCAACUGCAUCAUUUAUUUAAGAAUAUAGUUUUGUUACUUUAGUUCUUAUUUAACAAAUUGUAAAUUCCAACAUAGUAAUAAAGAUCUAGAGAUUAAUGAGUUAGAUCAAAAUAUAGUUUAUGAUAGAACACUAUAACGUAAUUUGAUCCGUGUAGCUGACUCCAUUUAGUGGAUAAGACUUGGUUUUUGUUAUUGUAUUCCAGCAUAAUACAUUUACCACUUAAAGUUUAGACAAGGAACACCAUUAACAUGUUGCAAUCAGUCAUAAACAUAGUCUACUGAGAUAGAAGAAAAGGAUUGGAAGAGGAAAGAAAAUAGAAAAAUCGAAAAACGGAGGGAGAAAAAAUGAAAAUUUGAGAUAAGCAAAUAAUCAAACACACACGCCAGUAUACAUAAAUAGAAAUCUAGAUAGAGACAUUGUCGCUUGUAACAUGGAUAAGCAAACUGUGUUUUUUUUUUAACAGUAUGAUUUUUCUACAUAAUUCAUAUAAGAUGCAAUAAAAAUUGACUAUAUACUUUUUGCUACAUAACAUGAGGAAAAGUUUAGGUCUUAAUGUUUUUAAUUGGUACAUUUCAGGUCUAGUGAAUGAGUUAUGUAACUGUGCACUCAGUCACAAAAUUCAAUCAUCAACAUAAGAUUCUUUUCCAGAGAAAUCAGGAACAUAGCCAUAUAAGUGCAGCUCAAAAGACAGAAGCUCCAAGGCUGAGUAAAUAUAAUCAUUCUCUUCAUGAUAUUUAUCACCGGACACAAAUUUAUGAAUGCCAGAAUCAAUCUCAAUGGAACUAAAAGCUAGAUUCUUUUGUAAGCCACGUUCUUUCAUUUCCCUCCUAACCUUGCUCGCACCAUCCCAUUUUCCAACAGCAGCAUAUAUGUUAGAAAAAAGCACAUAAUUUGAAUCUCCACCAGGGUACAAUUCAACUUGAUACUUCAUCACUUUUUCAGCCAAUUCAACAUCCCCUUGAGUCCUACAAGCUGCAAGCAAUGACCCGAGCACCACUUCAUUAGGCAUCAUAGGCAUUUUUUUUAUCACAUCCCAAGCCUCCUUCAACCUCCCUGCUCUACUAUAGAGAUCCACUAAGCAACCAUAAUGCUCAAUCCUCGGCGAAUUUCUAUGAUCUCUUUUAAUGUCAGCAAAGAUUUUCAGUCCUUCGUCAAUCAACCCAGCAUGACUGCACGCUGUGAGUGCACUCGUGUAACUAACUCCAUUCGGCUAGAACCCUUCCUUCUUCAUUGAACGAAAGAAACUCAAAGCCUUGUCAGCAAGCCCAUUAACCGCAAAACCAACAAUGAUCGAAUUCCACGACACCAAAUUUCGCUGACUCAUUCCAUCAAACACUUGACGAGCAAGCUCUAUACACCCACAUCGCGCAUACAUAUCUAUUAAAGAAUUCAAAACUUUAACAUUAUCCCUAAACUCUUUCUUCAUCACAAGUCUAUGAACCCACAAGCCAAGACCAAGUGCACCCAAAUUAGCACACGCGGAAAUAAUCGCAAUAACAGUCACAAAAUCUGGCACAACACCAGCCAGCUGCAUUUCUCGAAAACACUCAAGAGCUUCUUCAUAACACUCUUUCUUAACAAACCCACCAAUAACCACAGUCCAAGAAACAACAUUCUUCACAGGCAAUUUAUCAAACAGUUUAAGUGCAUCAUCAACAUCACCAUUUUUCAUAUACCCAUCAAUCAUAGUAUUCCAAGAAACCAAAUUUCUAACACCCAUUUGAUCAAAAACCAAUCUAGCAUAAUCCAAUUUCCCACAUUUGGCAUACAUGUCAAUCAAUGCAGUACCCACCAUCACAUCAUUCAUGGCAAAGCCAUGUUUGAAAGCGUGUGUGUGUAAUGCAGCUCCAAAGGUGAUGCUGGUUUUGGAGGGAGAGUGGGCACAAGCAGAGAGGAGAGUGAUGAGGGUGAUGUGAUUGGGUUCGACUUCGGCUUCGAGCAUUUGGAUGAAUUCGGAAGCUGCUUUGAGGAAAUUGUUAUUUUUGCAGUGGUGAGAAAUUGAGGAUGUCCAUGAUACGGUUUGGUUUGAGUUGGGUUUGUGUUUUAGAGAGAGUGUUUGGUUUUUGUUGGGGUUGUUUGGGGGAGAAAAUGUAGAGGGAGGGUGAAUUUGUGGAGGUUGUUUUGGAGGGUCAGGGUGGUGUGUUGGGGUUGCAAUGCACGUAGUAAGGAUCAUUCUUCUCUCAAUCGUGGUGGUAACUGAUUUUUGGUUGAGUACCUAUAUCAAAAUUGCUCAAAUUGCUCUGGACACAUAAGAUAUAGCCGAAAAACACUCUUUUGGGUGGUAAAUGUUUUUCUUUUGAUUAUAUCUUGAGAAUUACUAUUGACACAUUUGGUUUGGCUGAGACACACGAGUAAUUUACUUAAAUGUCCAUCGGCAGUUAACUGUCGAAGUUUUAGAAAACCGGAUGCAGUUAACUAUCGAGGAUUUCCUCAGCAGUAAACUGCCAAAGCGUCCUGAAGCCAAGACAGAGGCAGUAGCUUCAUUUCCUGAACCUGUAAUGUGUUUCAAACACAAAACACAACAUAUGUACCUGUUUUUUUUUUUUUUUUUUUUUUUUUUUUUUAUGCAUAACGGUUCAAAUGGCAAAACAAAUAUUGGCGCAAAUGCACAACUUAAUUAAACCAACAUUUUUAUACCAUUAAACAAAGUAAAAUAUCCCAUGAAAUUAAAAGUAAUGUCAUCAAAAUACAAAUAUACUAAUCAAUGUCAUCAAAAUACCAAAACUAAAAAACAAGUCCUAAAAAACAAACUACUACUACU
Molecule: long non-coding RNA, 50076 nt
Filed under: Medicago truncatula (barrel medic)
Lineage: Eukaryota; Viridiplantae; Streptophyta; Magnoliopsida; Fabales; Fabaceae
Description: long non-coding RNA (MTRU_LNC008807)
Rfam family: MIR2679 microRNA precursor family (bases 26500-26618)
Source: RNAcentral